GACUCCACACCUUCAGCCCAAAGUGCGCAGGUGCAUAAAAACCAAGUGCAGCAACUUCAGCAAAUUGCAUAAGUCUGAAAUCAAUCUGUUAAGCACCUAAAACUCACCUGAGGCCCCCGGGACCUCAACCAAACAAACCAACCAAUCCUAAAACAACAUACGAACUUAGUCGAGCACUCAAAUCACAUCAAACAGCGCUAAAGACAUCAAUCAACGUAGUCGUCCUCACAUAGUUCCAACGACAACCCAAAUUUUAAAACUUAAGCUCCUACUUAGUGACUAAGUAUCCCAAAACACUCUGAAACUCAAAAUGAAUCAUCCCAGCAAAUCACAAUAGCAGAAAUAGAUACAGGGGAAUCAAUUAAUAGGGGAUCAGGGCUCUAACUCUCAAAACUACCGGCCGGUUCGUGGCAUCCUCUCAUUCUUAAAACAUCCGUUCGUCCUUGAAUGAGAAUAGAGAUAUACCUAAAGUGGUGAAAAGUUGAGGAUAACAACUGCACAUAUCCUGCUUAGUCUCCCAAAUCGUCUCCUCAACCGGCUAAUCUCGCCACUGAACCUUCAUUGAUAUAAUGUUCUUUGACCUUAGCUUUCGAACCUACUUAUCCAAUAUAGUCACUGGCUCCUCAACAUAAGAUAGAUCUUUGUCCAACUGGACUGAGCUGAAAUCCAACACGUGAGACGGAUCACCGUGAUACCUCCGGAGCUUCGAAACAUGAAAUACCGGAUGAACUCCUACCAAGAUGGGAUCUAAGGCAAGCUCCCCAACACGCCACAACACCUCAAAGGGACUAAUAAACCUUGGGCUCAACUGGCCCCCUUUUCGAAUCUUAUAACGCCCUUCAUAGGUGAAACCUGAAGCAAGACUCGCUCUCCAAUCAUAAAUGAAAUAUAGCGAACCAUCGGGUCCGUAUAAUUCUUCUGUCUGGACUGGGCUGUGUGAAGUCUAUCUUGAAUUACCUUAACCUUCUCCAAGGCAUCCUGACCAAGUCUAUGCCCAAUAAUCUAGCCUCCCCGGCUCGAACCAACCCACUAGGGACCGGCAUUGCCUACCAUACAAAGUCUCAUACGUGCCAUCUGAAUGCUAGAAUGAUAAUUGUUGUUAUAGGCAAACUCUUGAAGUGGAAAUAACUGAUCACACAGAACCUCCAAACUCCAUCACACAAGCACGGAGCAUAUCCUCGAGAAUCUGAAUAGUGCGCUCGGAUUGUCUGUUCGUCUGUGGGUGAAAUGGUGUGCUCAACUCCACCUGAGUACCCAACUCCUACUAUACGGCUCUCAAGAACUGUGAUGUAACCUACAUAUCCCAAUCAUAAAUGAUAGAUACCCCACGUCAUGAAUUCUAACAAUCUCACGGAUAUAAGGCAAGCCAACUGCUCGGAAGAAUAGGUCACAGGAAGGAAAUGAGUUGACAUAGUCAACCUAUCAACAAUCACCCAAACUGCAUAAAACUUCCGAUGAGUCCGUGGGAGUCCAACAAUGAAUCCAUAAUGAUCCGUUAUCCUUUUCAAUCCGGAAUCUCUAAGCAAUCCACUCGGUCACUGAUGCUCAUAUUUCACAUGCUGGCAAUUUAGGAACCGAACAACAUACUUCACUAUAUCUUUCUUCAUCCUCCUGCACCAAUAAUGCUGCCUCAAGUUUUGAUAGAUCUUCAUGGCACCUGGAUGAAUAGAGUACCGCAAUCUAUGAGACUCCUGAAGAAUCAACUCACACAAACCAUCUAUAUUAGGCACACACAGCCUGCCAUGCAUCCUUACCGCACCAUCAUCCCAAAUAGUGACCUCCUUGGCAUCACUGUGCUGGACCGUGUCCCUAAGGAUAAGCAGAUGGGGGUCAUCAUACUGACGCUCCCUGAUAAGAUCAUAAAGAGAAGACCUAGAAACCACACAAGCCAAUACUCGACUAGGCUAAGAAAUAUCCAAUCUCAUGAACUAGCUGGCUAAGGCCUAAACGUCCAAUGCCAUGGGCCUCUCUGUUGCUGGUAAAUAAGCUAAACUCCCCAAACUCUCUGCUCGGCGACUCAAAGCAUCUGCCACCAUAUUGGCUUUCCUUUGAUGGUACAAAAUAGUGCUACGAUAAUCCUUAAGAAGCUCCAACCACCUCCUCUAAUGCAAAUUAAGAUCCUUCUGCUUGAACAGAUAUUGCAAACUCCGAUGAUCAGUGUAGAUCUCACAAGGAACACCAUAAAUAGUACCUCCAAAUCUUCAAGGCAUGAACAAUAGCAACUAACUCAAGGUCGUGGACAUGAUAGUUCUUUUCAUGCACCUUUAGCUGCCUGGACGUGUAAGCAAUCACCAUAUGAUCCUGCAUCAACAUGGUGCCAAGUCCAUCGCGCGAUGCAUCACAAUAAAAUGUAUAAAACCCUGAACCUGAAGGUAAUACCAGUACUAGAGCUGUAGUCAAAAUUGUCCUGAGCUUCUGAAAGUUCUCCUAACACUCUUCCAUCCACCUGAAUGGAGCACCAUUCUGGGUCAGCCUGGUCAUAGUUGCUACAAUAGAGGAAAAUCCAUCAAGAAAUCGACGUUAAUACCCUGCCAAACCAAGAAAACCCUAGAUCUCUAUAGCUGAGGACGGUCUGGGCCAACUCUUGCACUACUUCCACUUUAUUCAAAUACACCUUGAUCCCUUCACUCGAUACCACAUGACUCAAGAAUGCCACGGAAUCUAACCAGAACUCACAUUUUGAGAACUUUGCAUAUAAUUUCUUUUCUCUCAAGGAGUGAAGCACAGUCCUCAGGUGCUGCUCAUGAUCCUCCUAACUUCGGGAGUACACCAGAAUGACAUCAAUAAAGAUAAUGAUGAACGAGUCAAGAUAAGGCCAGAAUACAGUAUGCAUCAAAUGCAUACAUACGGCUAGGGCGUUGGUCAGCCCAAAUGAUAUAACAAGGAACUCGUAAUGACUAUACCGAGUCUUGAAAGCAGUCUUCGGGAUAUUUAGACCCCGAAUCUUCAAUUGAUGAUAACCGGGACGCAAGUCUUUGAAAACACUCAGGCACCCUGUAACUUAUUAGAUAGGUCAUCAAUACAAGGAAAAGGAUACUGGUUCUUCACCGUAACUUUGUUUAACUUGCGAUAAUCAAUGCACAUAUGCAUAGAACCAUCCUUUUUCUUCAUAAACAAGAUAGGAGAACCCUAAGGCGAUAUAGUGGCCGAAUUAAGCCCUUAUCAAGAAAUUCAUGUAAUUUUACCUUCAACUCCUUUAACUCAGGAAGGGCCAUACGAUAAGGAGGAAUAAAGAUUGGCUGAGUUCUCCCUCCAUGAAGCGCCGUGACGACACCUAGUCUCUAAGACUAGGUAAGCCUAACAUUUGCGGAAAAAGGAAUAAAAACAUAAAAACUUAUUAACUAACAGGUAAAUUUAAAUAAGGAAAUGAGAUACCGCUCGACAUAUACAAUAAUCACUCCACAACAGUACAUAAACUCUCUCUAAACCCGGAAUAUCAUAAGUCACAACCUAAGAAAGGAACACUACUGCAAUACUCCGGAGUCCAAUAAAAGAAGAAAAUACAAGAAAGGGUGACAUAGGGUGGAAUAGAUACGGUCUUCGAGGUCUGCGGACACAGCAGAUAUACCUUGAAAUCUCUACAGCUGCCUCGCCUCACUGGUAAUUUGGCUGAUAAGCGGUACCUGGAUCUUCACACAAAAACAUGUGCAGAAAAGGUCAUGAGUACACAACAACGGUACCCAGUAAUUACCAAGCCAAACCUUGGUCGAGUAGUGACGAGUCAAGUCAGGGCCCUACUGGUAUAAAUAUAACAAAAUAAGACAGAAGAAUAUUACAGUAAAAUAAAUAGAAAAAUCUAAUAGGAAUAGAAUUCAAUGGAAGCUAACAUCUUAGAACACAUUAAUAGCAACAGGGUGAUCUCCCGGGAUACCGUCUCGUAUUCCCAAACAUAAAUGUGCAGGGGGAUCUUCCAGAAUACCGUUCUUAGUCCCAAAUUAUGCAAUGCUGGGGGGCUCUCAGAAUACGGUUCUGUAGUCCCAAAGUAAAUUUGAAGUACAUGGGAGAAUAUCGUUCCGUAGUCCCAAAGUAAAUAUGCAACUCAAUCAAUAUAAACAAAAAUUUCAACAAGGAAUCUGCAACUAAGACUAAGUUCAUAUCAAAGAAAAUAGGUAAUUUUCACUAAACAUGUUGCACAUAGUUCAAAUAAAUAGUUAAAACACGUAGACAUGUUUUUCGAAUCUAAACAAGGUACUUACAUAUACUAGUGUAGUUUCAACAAGGAAAAACAGACUAAGACUUAGUGAAAAAGGGAGUUUUACAGCACAUAGCCCGUGUACAUACUCGUCACAUCAUGUACAUGGUGCUCACAUAUCAAAUAGUACUAGAAUCCUAAGGGGAGUUCCCCCGCAGAAGGUUAGACAAGCCACUUUCCUCGAACUAAGCUCAAAUCAAUCCGUCACAAUGCUCUUUCCACGAAUAUCGGCUCCGGAUGGUCCAAAUCUAGCCAAAACAAUUACAUAACAUACAGAUAGAUACAAGUAACUAAUCGCGCUAAUGAAAUCAGAGCUAAGGAAAGAAAAUAUAAAAACACCCAAAAAUCUUCCCGGGCUCAUGUCUCGAAAUUGGGUAAAAGUUACAAAUUAAGAACACCCAUUCACUCACGAGUACGCUCGUACAAAUAUUAUCCAAAUCCGAUGUCAAACUCCCACUCAAAACUCAUAAAUUUGAUUGGGUAACUUUUCCUCCCAUUUUCCCAACUUUCUCACUCAAAUUCCUUGAUUAAAUGAAGGAAACAAAUAUAUUUUAAUGAAAUGCAACCAAAAUCGAGUAAGGAAUCAUUACCCACAAGCUUCCUCUAAAAAUCCCUCAAAAUUUUGCAUCAAUCCGAGCUCUCUAGGUCAAAAUAUGGAGAAUGAAAUCAAAACCGAGGUUUUGCCCUUUUUCUGCUAGUCAAACCACACAUGCGGACCCUUCUUCGUACCUGUGGCGCCGCACCUGCAGAAAUUCCAUCACAUGUGUAGAAUUCACUUAAGUGGGCUGGGACAGCAUCUGCGAGCACCGGGUCACACCUGCAAGCCCGCUCCUGCGAUCCCUGUUUAUGCGAGAUCCUCAUCGCAUAUGCGGACCCAAUUGGACAUGGUCAAAAUCCACUUCUACGGCUUCACACCUGCGGCUCAAAGUGCGCAGGUGCAAAAACACCAAGUGCAGCAACUUCAGCAAAUUGCAUGUCUCAAAUAAAUCCGUUAAGCACCUGAAAUUCACUCGAGGCCUCGGGACCUCAACAAAACAUACCAACCAAUCAUUAAACACCUUACAACUUAGUCGAGUACUCAAGUCACAUCAAACAAUGCUAAAAACAUCAAUCAAUCUCCGUUUCAACCUUAAGGAAAUUAAAACUUCCAAAUUCCACAACUGGUGGAUAAACCAACCAAACCACAUCUGAUUGACCUCAAAUUUUUGCACAUAAAUCAUAUUCAACACUGCGGGCCUACCUAACUUCCAGAAUCAAAUUCUGGCCCUGAUAUAAAAAAUUCCACUACCAGCCCAAAACUCCAAAAAUUCGACUUUCGCCAUUUCAAGCCUAAAUAAGCUACGGACCUCCAAAACACAAUUCGGACAUACCCCCAAAUCCAAAAUCAGCCAAUGAAAUUGAUGGUACUCCAUUCUAGAGUUGUCUUCAUGCAGUUCCGACUACGGUCCAAAUUUUAAGACUUAAGCUCCCAUUUAGGGAUUAAGUGUUCCAAAAUAUCCGAAUCUCACAAUGAAUAAUCUCGGAAAGUCACAAUAGUAGAAAUAGAUACAGGGAAAGUAGUUAAAAGGGGAUCGGGACACUAACUCUCAAAAUGACCUACCGGGUCAUUACAGUCUUUAAAGAAGGGUGAAUAAAAGAAGUUGCAUGCUUGUUAGCUAACGGUCAACACCAUCCAUAGUCAUUGGUGUUUUUUUAUCAGUCCGAAGUAGAUUAGUAUUUGGUAGGUUGACUUUUUAGUUUCUUGAGGAAAAGUAAGAUAUGUGGCACUUUUGAUACUAAUUACACAGACUUUAGCUCAUCUUUUAAUGUAUUAUAAGUCAUUUUCUUAUAUAGUUUUAGUAUUUUGCAGAAAAACAUACUUGAAGAACCAAGAACAUGAAAAAGAUGAUAAAAAUCCAUGGAAAGGCAAAAUGUGGUAGGUCUGUGAUCUCAAAAGUGAUAUGGGACCGUAGACCAAUCGCAAAGUGAAGUAGACCAUCUCAGUUUCUGAGAGUCAAUUCUGCGAUCCAUUGUGCGGUACGGUAUAUGGUCGCAAAACCGACAUAUGGUCGCAAAACCGAUAUGCGAUUGAAAUCUACAAAUCUUUGAGAUUAAUUAUGCAGAGAAAAUGAAGAUGUGCGGACCGGGAAAACAUUAUGCGACCCGUUUUGCGGUAUCAGAUUUGAUCUGCAUGGUCAUUUUUGUCACUUUUUUACCACGACUUUUACCCCAUUAUAAAUAGAAUGAUUAGGGUCUUGAUGGACCAUCUUUUCUGAAAAAAGGGCUACACUUAGAGCAUUGAAUACACCAUUGAUUUGAAAGCUUUUGAAAAGAGAAUCUUGUCUCCUUUGUAAGAUUUUUGACUUUGUUUAUUACUUUGUUCUUGGAUUCUAGUAUGAGUAGCCAACUUUAAAUACUAAGGUUGUGGACCCUAAAUGAGUGUAAUGUUAAUGGGUCUUCACCAUUGAAUGUAUAAAUAAUGGUUCAUUGAUAUUUAUUCAUUUCUCAUGCUUUAUUUAUUGUUUAUGGUAGAAAACAUUGAGUAGUACCAUUUUACUCUCUAUUUACUUGGAAAAGUGGGUUAAGGUUUGAUAUAAUUGAAUAGCAAGAACUCAAGGCUUUAAACUUUAUUUAAUAGAAUCGCUUAGGGAUAAGUGGUUUUUACUUGGCAUAAAUUGGUUAUUCGUAAUUGUAACUUUUUUAUAUUUGGGAAAAUCAUAAAGAGAAAUUACUUCCUAAUUGUUGAAAAAUAUUGGGUAGUCAUUUAGGAACCAUUUUCAUAUCAAAGGACCUUCCAUUAGAAAUAUUAUCAUAUUAACACUGAUGGCAUUACAUUCCAUUAAUGGGGACACAACCUUGGUUUUCUUAAUCAAAUUAAUCACACUCUUUUAACAAAAUAGUUUUCUUGAUAAUUCACAAUUACAAUACUCUUUUUAAACUAACGUGUAGAAUUACGACUUAAGUCAAGUUUCACACUACUCAAGUAACUUUUUCACACUAUUCCAGCAGGAUUCAACCCCAACAUAGUUGGAUUAUUAUAUUUGACAUGGACCGCCUUAUACCAUUUAUUUAGGUAUAAUUUCAUCCCAAGUCCAUCUACUAACUUAUACACACUCCCAUCUGUAAACAUUGCUUGCUAAAACCCACACAAACCCAUGCCAAGGGGCAAUGUACAAGCCCAUGAUAUUGGUUCUGUCCGGCAUCACGUCUCAAUAUUAAGGUCUAUCAAACCACCCCCACUAGUUGAACUCGAUGUCCCCGUCGAGGCUGACUUCAAGUAGUCCUCUAUUUGUUUUUCACAUUGCCACAACAAAGCACUCUUUUUCCAAAUCGCAUCUGCCUUGGGCUUUCAUUUCCAUUGAAUCAGAAACUCUAUCUGCCUAUUCUUUUUAGGCAUCCCAAGAACCCGGCAUUUAAGAAUCUUCUUAAUUUCUUCUUGAAGUUAAGUGCGCACCUCAGAAGGAGCUCUCUUUGUUUUAUGUUUGUCCGGGCCUUUAGGAUCUUUAACAUAAGGCCUUAGAAAACUCACAUGGAAAGUUGAAUGUAUCUUUAUUCUUUCAGGAAACUUCAAUUGAUAAGCAACUUCACCAACUUUUGCAGCAACUUCAAAAGGACCAUCAUACCUUGAAACCAAGGCUCUAUGUCUAACUCGCUGUCAAUCUUUUUCCAAAUAUGUAGAGUAAGCUUUAACUACACCUUAUCAGCGACUUUGAACUCCAAGGAGAGCAUGUUCAGGUCAUUAUAUUUCUUCAUUCAUUUAUAUGCCUUUUUCAAGCUAUAUAUUGCUUCCUUGAUCAUAGUUUGUCUAUCCCAACCAUAGGGGUAGGUAGCUGGACAGUUACCCCUAGUCUUUUGUUGUGAAAUUGUCGUUGGUUGUGUAGGCUUCUUCCCAAAAACAAUCUCGAACGGACUUAUCUCCGUUGCUAAAGACUUGUGCAAAUUAUAUGAGAAUUGUGCAUAAUCUAGCAAAUCUGGCUAGUUGCAUUGACUAGCAGUCACAAAGUACCUCAAGUAUUCCUCCAACAAAAUGUUUAUUUCUCUCGGUUUGGCCAUCAGUUUGGGGAUGAUUAGACGUUGAAAACUUCAAGUUCGUACCCAUCAAGUUGAACAAAUAAGUCCCGAACCAGCUUGUAAAUCGAGCUCCCUAUCACUAAUAACAUUCUUUGGUAUUCCAAAAUAUUUUAACCACAUCCUUGAAAAGGUCAUUCUGUAGGGGCAGAAAUAAAAAUAACAUAUUUAGAAAACCUAUCAACCACGACCAUGAUCGAAGAGAACCCAUUAACCUUAGGGAAACCGCUGAAUAAAUCCAUCGAAAUAGAUUGCCAUGUUUCUUUUGGAAUUGGCAGAGAUUGUAUAAAAGCCACCUCCUUCUUCCGCUCCGUUUUAUCAAGAUGACAUACAAGGCAACUCUUGACAUAAACUUCCACAUCAUGCUCCAUCUUGGGCCAAAAAUAGUAUCAGGACAGUAUGGCCAUCAUCCUUUCAAUCCCUGGAUGACUAGCACAUAGAGCAUCAUGCAACUCUUUCAAUAGUUCACUAUGCAACCCAUCGCCAAGUGGCAGUACGAUUAUCUCCCCUUAGAAAUAGAGGAGAUCAUCCUUGAUCUGGUACUACCUUUCCUUCCAUCUCUCAUAUGAUUCAUUGUUUUGAUGUUGUCACGCCCUAACUCCGGGGAGCGACCAGCGCUCAACCGAGUGAACCCGGUUAAGCAAGCCUAUUAGAUUUUAUUCUUCCUAAAUUCAUCUUUGAAUAAAUAGGAGAUGUACUCCAUUAAUCAUACUCUAAAAGUAUUUCAUUAACAACUUCCAUUUCAUUUUCUUUAGCAGCUUCAACCAUAAUUUCCAAAAUAUUAUAAUUUUAUAGAUAUGAUAAAAAAACAUGUUUGCCAAAUAAAAAAUAUUUAUAAUUCAAUUCCCAAUAUCAACCACCAACCGUAACCUAUCCACAAAGCAUCUAAGUGUAACUGAAGAGUAAUAUGAAAAUACUAGCAACAAGGCCCCAACUAUACCUCAAAACAUGGUAAACAUAUGAACAAAAGAUGCACUAUAUGACAUCGGGAUGAAAUGGGGCUCACCAAGUCUGGUGGGAAGAUGAUGAUGAUGUACCAUUAGCUGCGCUCAACACUGUCUGUUAUGGAACCACCUACAUCCAUUUAAAGAUGUAGCCCCCCCUCCAUCUACUAACUUNNNNNNNNNNNNNNNNNNNNNNNNNNNNNNNNNNNNNNNNNNNNNNNNNNNNNNNNNNNNNNNNNNNNNNNNNNNNNNNNNNNNNNNNNNNNNNNNNNNNNNNNNNNNNNNNNNNNNNNNNNNNNNNNNNNNNNNNNNNNNNNNNNNNNNNNNNNNNNNNNNNNNNNNNNNNNNNNNNNNNNNNNNNNNNNNNNNNNNNNNNNNNNNNNNNNNNNNNNNNNNNNNNNNNNNNNNNNNNNNNNNNNNNNNNNNNNNNNNNNNNNNNNNNNNNCCCCCCCCCCCCAAUAAAAAGGACGUUAGUACUGUCGAAUAGUACUAGUAUGUAAAGCUAAAAUACCAUCUUAAUAGCAUGAAUAAUGAAAUAAAGAGGAACAUUCACGAUGUACAAUAAGAGCUUCAAAUGAUACUAAAAACACCAAAUAAGGAUACAUAAGUUCUCAAGUCAAUUUACAUUUUAUUAGAUUGAUGCCAUGUACCACAAUCCAUAAUACCAUCGUUAUCACCAUUUGAGACAUCAACCAUAUCCACAAUUUCAAUCAUCAGUUCCAGUACAAUUAUCACCAUGUGUGCGACAUGGUGUCCGAUCACUGCCCGAUCGGCUAGGCCAUCUCACUUGAGACAGCAUCCUUUCAAUCGAUUAUCUCACUUCACUUUUUCCCAUCUUUCAAUACAUUAGAACAAGUGGCCUCAUUUAUAAGUCAUUUUUGGCCCUUGGAGAUAUUUUACAAUUCAAGUUUUCCUUUUUUACACAUUCAGUAACACUAUCAUCAGCGAUAAUAAGGCCUAUAAUGUAAAGCAUUUGUACACAUAAAGGGAAGACUUAGAAAAUCAUAAGCACAUAGAGGCCUUUCAUACAAAUUGGCAUAACAAUCUUUAUUUGAUUUUUGACAUAAAUCCUUAACCUUUCUCAACACAUAUUCCAUAUUUUUAAACACUUUCUCAAAUGACAUGAUGACAUGAUAAAUAUUUAGAGCAACUAUUGAAAAUGAAUCUGUCAACACAAAACAUUACGGCAAUCAAUUCUAGUAUGAUUCAUUUAGGGACUUACACCAAUUAAACGGACAUCAAGGUUCGAUUCUAAGAAGAAGCGGGCUUAGCCAUACAUAGUUGGAUUCAGCCGUUUAGUGUUAUUAAAAUUCCCCACUAGUCUUACUACUUCAAUCUACAUCAACAUAAUUUAAUUGGACCAAUAUUAGUAAAACUUUCCAAGUUUUUGAUCAUUUCGGUAUUUUAUCAAACACCUAAAGUGCAUAGAAUUCUACUAGAUGGUGUUCCUUCAUACAACAAUCCUUCCUUCCCACCAACAAUAUAUAAUACAAUAUCCUCUGACUACUAAUUACCUUCUUUAGCGCCAUUAUAAUCAACAGUGAGCUCACAUCCAUAAAAUUUUACUAAUUAACUCAUUACAAAAUCUCUACAACACCCAAUAAUCUAUUUUAAGUAUUUAUGAUUCCAAUCACCAUCUCAUAAGUGAUAGUACUUAUUGCGUGCUUAUAUAUUCACUAACAAUACAUACAUGUAGGUUUAAGGGUGGAUGAUUACCUCUUGUAGAUCAAAUCUUGAAAGUCAAAUUUUGGGUUAUUCUUGAGAUUUUGAAGAAAUCCUAUGAAAUCCAAUCAAAACUUUGUUGUAACUAGUGAUUGAAAAGUGAAAUCAUCAUAAAAAUUUCACAUUUAGUAUGUAUUGGAAGCCUUGGCCGGAUAGGUGAUGGAAAAAAAGGCCCUAGUCUUGAAAUUCUUUUAUUUUUCUCUCUCCUGCCUCAGGUAUUAAUAGGCCUAGUUACAGUAUUUUUCAACUGGUGAUAUUCUUAUGCUAUAAGGCUUUAGCUCACUGGUUUGCUAAAAUCAGGUACAAUAUUUUUCAACUGGUGUUAUCCUUAUGCUAUAAGGCAUUAGCUCACUGCUUUGCGAAAAUCCUCAGCUUCCCUCCUGGUUAUAGCUGUGCUAUGAGGAGAUAGCUCACUGCAUUUCUUUAGUCUUAUUGAUUUGGAAUUAACAUCCAAGUGUUUCUCCAUUAUUACAACACUCAACAUAAAUAAAAUAAUUAUCUCCAAGUAUCCAAAUAACUUUAUCCACUCCAGUAAUUCUCACGUGGUUCGGGUCUAAUUUAAAGUAUAUUCAUAAGCUCAAAAUUGCACAAAUUAGCAAUAGAAAUUCACAGGACCUUAGAUGUUGGCCUACCUCGACACCACAAACCUCGAGUUCUUGGAAAAAUUAUAUGGGGCCUUAUAGAUAUACAAUGGAUAAUAGCAACACACGACUUGAUUUUAUCAAGAAAUUCAGAUUCAAGUCGAGUAAUGGAAUAAACAGCAGCAAAUACCUCUUUUUGGCUUAACGCAUCAGCAACGUUGUGUUUUCCUGGCUUGUGCUCCCAAAUAAAAUCAUAGUCCGUCAAGAAUUCAUGCCAACGUGCCUGCUUCGGACGUAGCUUUUUCUCUAUCUUGAAAAAUGUAUUAGCCACAUUAUUUGUCCUCGCAACGAAUUUAGUUCCCAGCAAAUAAUCCCGCCAAAUCUGCAAGCAAUGGAUUACUACAAAAGAAAAUUUUCAUGAGUUGAGUAUCUUUCCUCCCCUUUAUUUAAUUUUCUGCUCUCAAACACUACUUGGUGGCCUUCUUAUACCAACACACCUCCAACAGCCUCGUCGGAAGCAUCAGUAUGAACUUCAAAGGGCAGUUUAAAAUUAGGAAGCUACAAGACAGGUUCAAAGACAAUAGCUUCUUUCAGCAUGUCAAACACACCAUUGAAUUUUUCAGACCAUGCCCACCUAGCAUUCUUCUUCAAUAAAACAAUUGAUGAGGCCAAUGUGCAUAGGAUUUUCCUGCUCGUGCUUAGUCAAAUUCUAAUAUAGUUUAAGAUAUCGUCCCACAGAGAUUGCAACAUCUAGCUACAAACUUAUAUAUUCUUACUACUAUUUGAGAGAACCAAAUUGAUGAAGUUUUGUUUAUUGAAGAUCUAAAUUGCUUAAGUUGAAACAAAAUAACUUUCGGAAGAUUUGUAUUUAACUAGAGUUGGGAAUCAAUGAAACUAUUUGAGAGAAGCAAAUUGAUGAAGUUUUGUUUGUUGAAGAUCUAAAUUGCUUAAGUUGAAACAAAAUAACUUUUGGAAGAUUUAUAUUUAAAUAGAGUUGAGAAUCAUUGAAUUCACUCGAUAGCGUGAUAACAAUAAAAUCUUAGGUUCUACAUGUAUUUCUCUUAGGAAUAAUUGUUUAUUGCUAAUACAAUUAUAUUUGCUCACCAAGAAAUAAUCAAUUAAUAACACUCCGUGAGAAUUAUAUAAAUAAAUUGAUAUAUGACUUGUGACGAUUAAACUGAAAUAAUUUUCUUACCUGAAUUGUGCUAUAAGAUAGUUAAAACCUCUUGCGAUUAAUUUUUACUAAAAGUCAAUAAUCUUGCCAAGUACAACUCCUCCGUGAGAAUUAGAAUGGAAGUAAGCAAGAUUACAGACUCAAUUGAUAUAUGACUCGUGACGAUUAAACUGAAAUAAUUUAUUGCCUGAAUUGUGCUAUAAGAUAGUAAAAACCUCUUGCGAUUACUUUUUACUAAAAAUCAAUAAUCUUGCCAACUAUAACUCCUCCGUGAGAAUUAGAAUGGAAGUAAGCAAGAUUACAGACUUGGAAUGAUAGCUUAAAAAGAAUUACUCUCCCUCUAUUAUUUUACCAAUAGAUAUCGUAUAUUAAUUUUGCUUCGUGAGAAUUACAAAAUUGACAUAUAACUAACUUUGGAGAAUAAAUAGAUAGAAGUGAUAAUAAUUAAUUAAAACUAACAUUCAGCACAAUAUAGAAAUAUAAUUAGAAAGUUUCAGGUCAAGCAUGUAGUAAAAUUGAGAUUAANNNNNNNNNNNNNNNNNNNNNNNNNNNNNNNNNNNNNNNAGCAUGUAGUAAAAUUGAGAUUAAUAUUAUAACGAUAUCGAGCUUCAUCAACUAUCCCAACAAAAGAGAUUACUCCAUUAUGGAGUAUUUAAAUCUCAUAUAAAAAGGAAUUCUUAACAUAAUAUCAACACUCUUAGAAAAUUCCCAAAAGAGUACAAGAUAAAGUGAAAUAUAUAAAGAAAGAAGUAAAGACUAAAUUAGAAAAAAGUUAUUUUGCUAGGUACGUAUGAUCUUCCUCUCUUCAACACAAAUAUAACAUACUAUUUAUAGAAAUUAAAUAUCAUAAGGUGCCAUGUUGCCUCAUGCUUCUUUUAUCAUGAUGCAUUGUGCUUCUUUUGCCAUGAUGCCUCGUGUUUCUUUCGCCAUGAUGCCUCGUGCUUCUUUAUUAUUCCUUUAUUUUCUUUAUCAUGAUAUUUUUAUUUCCUGCAAAAUACUAUUAGAAAAUACAGAUAAUUGACAUAUUAUAUAUAUUAUUUAAAAUAAUUUAUUUUAAGUAUAUAAUAUAUGAAUAUUUUAAAAUCAUCAAACUCCCCCACACUUGAAUUUUUGCUCGUCAUCGAGCAGUAAUUUUAUUAAUAUUGUUGUUUCUUGUAGAGUAGAAAAGUAAAAAAAAUAAAAUUUCACAUAAAAUUCAAAACCUAUAAGUUUUUCAAGUCGUCAAACCUUUACCUUGUUUCUAUUUCUGCUUUUGUUUGCCAAAAACUUUCAACUCCUCUUUUGAGAUUGAUAACAUUAUGAUUACAAUUUCGAGUUUUUCAAAUUUUGUCCAUAGGCUUUCCCUUCAUGUCAGUGUCCACUAAUGUAGAAUCAAAACUAAUUUUAAAAUUAUUUUAGGACUUUUUCAGGCUUGCAAUAAUAGGUUUAAUGUUGGUAAGGUAAAAGAAUAUAUUUGUAGUGACUUUGUUCCAUCCAGCUUUAUUAUGAGAGCAGAUUAUUUUUACCAAAGUAACUAUGUACAAGUCAACACAAGAUAUUAACUCUAGAGAUUGAGAUAAAGGUACCGAUCUCCAAUUUCAUAAUUAAUAUCACUUAAGUCAUCAUUUCUCUCAAUAGAUUUCUUAAAUUCAAGCUUCUUGAACCAAUAAUUUAUUUACAAGUAUAUACACCUUGUUUUCCUCUUCUUCUUCUUCUUCUUCAUUUUUUUAGUAGUGAAAUAGAAAAUUUACUCCAUAAGUAUUCCUUCAACGCUUGCUUUAAUAAUCAUUUUUGCUCAACUAUAGCCGGAAGGAGUAGUAUUAAUUUUUUUUGUAAGAUAAACCAAUAUGGUGUAUCAAUAAAAGUUGGUUUAUCCCUCUUUUUUUUUUCUUUUUCUUCUUUUGGUUCAAUGUUGGGUGCUAAAAGGUAAAAUAUAAAUAUUUGUGGUUAAAAAUGGAUAGGCUAACAAUGGUGUCAAAGAAUGCCUAAUUUUAUUCUAAAAAAGUGUUGUCUAGAAUUUCGCCUUGAUAGACAUUUGGGGCAAGUUCUAGCAGAAUUUUAUUGAUUCUACCUGUUGAGAUCAUAAUGCUUCUCAAUUCCAACACUUUCUCAAAUUUGGAGAUACUCGUUCUUUCCUUCACAAAAAUAAAAUCACAAACUUAGAAGUUAUAUGGCAUAAAUGAAAAAAAAAAUUAUGUCUGAAAAAUAUGUAAACUUUUUUUUUAAAACUUUAAUAUUGUACAAGAACAAAAAUUAAAAAUAAAAUAAACGAUGGAUAUAUAUAUAUAUAUAUAUAUAUAUAUAUAUAUAUAGGAGAGAGAAGAAAAAACUUGAAAGAGUGUGUGACAACACAUGUUUUUAUAUGUAAUAGACUGGCUAAUUUAAGACCUUGUCAGUCUAGGAGAGAGAAGAAAAAACUUGAAAGAGUGUGUGACAACACAUGUUUUUAUAUGUAAUAGACUGACUAAUUUAAGACCUUGUCAGUCAUAUGGUCCUGCUUUAAAUAUAAACCAACAAAUUUACCUGUGCAGACAUUUUGAAUUGAUUCAUUAAAUGGUUAAUCAACCAAUUACUUAGGCAUACCGAUCACCAUGGAGUUACUCCUUACAAGUGACUUUGUUUUUGUAGAGGCCUUCAUGAGAUGUUCUGGUUGUACAAUAACCUGGAUAUUGACCAGAUGAAUUGAUUAAGCAUUAAAUUACCCAAUUCUAUGACGGGCUUAUGAGGCUCCACCGCUUCUCCCUCAAUGGCUACGGGUUUUGUAUCAUAGUUCUGAGUUUAACGUCGUCAGCUCGACUUAUCAAUUGAAGAAUUCAUCAGUAUAUCAAAAUAAUCGAUUGAUGUUCAAAGUUUCUUCCAAAGUACAAUUUUAGCCUGUGACCAUUUACCUUAAACUUGUCUCCUCCAUUUUUUUUAAUUUCUAUUGUCCCGUAUGGAGUAACUCCUGUAACAUUGUAAGGACCUGUCCACUUGGAUUUUAAUUUUCCUGGGAAUAACCUGAGUCUUGAAUUUCUAUUGUCCCGUAUGGAGUAACGCCUGUAACUUUGUAAGGACCUGUCCACCUGGAUUUUAAUUUUCCUGGGAAUAACCUGAGUCGACUAUUGUAAAGAAGUACCUGAUCUCCAAUUAUAAAACUCUUUGGUCGGAUCAACUUGUCAUGCCAUAUUUUUGUUUUUUCUUUAAACAUUUUAGCAUUUUCAUAGGCUCCCAAUCUCAGUUCUUCCAAUUCAUUAACCUGAAUAAAUUGCUUUUUACCAGCAGAGGUUAAAUCAAAGUUUAGUGCUUUCAAUGCCCAAAAAGCUUUAUGUUCUAAUUCUACUGGCAAAUAACAAGCUUUUCCAAAGACUAAUCUAUAAGGAGAUGUUCCAAUUGGCAUCUUGAAAGACGUAUAGUACGCCCAUAGUGCAUCAUCUAAUUUUAAAUCCUAGUCUUUUCUUGGCAUUCCAACCAUUUUUUCAAGAAUUCUUUUUAACUCCAUUGCCCAGUCUUUUCUUGAGAGUCCAACCGUUUUUUCAAGAAUUCUUUUUAACUCGCGGUUGGAAACCUCAAAUUGCCCUUGAGUUUGAGCAUGAUAUGGUGUUCCAGUUUUCUGAGUUACAUUAUAUUUCGACAGUAAAGCAGAAAAUUGCCUAUUGAUAAAAUGAGUUUCUUGGUCACUAAUAAUGACUCGCGAUGUGCCAAAUCUAGUUAAAAAAUUUUUAGUAAGAAAAUUGCACACUAUACGAGCAUCAUUCUUUCUUGUGGGGAUGGCUUCAACCCAUUUUGACACAUAUCCAUAGCCACAAGAAUAUAUUCAAAAGAGUGAGAAGAAGGAAAAGGACCCAUAAAAUCUGUUCCCCAAAUAUCAAAUAUUUCACAUACCUGUAUUGAUUGCAGUGGAAUCUCAUCUUUCUUGGUGAUAUUACCUGUUCUCUGACACCUGUCACAUUGUGCUACAUAUGUUCGGGCAUAUUUAAAUAGUGUGGGCCAGAAGAAUCCGGCUUCUUAAAACUUUAAAAGCUGUUCGAUUUGCUGCAUAAUGUCCUCCAAUUGCUCCAUCAUGACAGUGAUAUAGAACUUUAUUCAUCUCUUCUUCAGGUACACACCUUCUAAUGAUAUUAUCUGCAAAAAUUUUGAAUAAGUAAGUUUCAUCCCACAGAUAAUACUUUGCAUCAGAUAUAAGAUUUUUCUUUGCUGAUAAGAGAAAUCUUGCGGUAUCCACUUUCCGACCAAGUAAUUCGCGAUAUCUGCAAACCAGGGUGGUUGAGUCACAAUUGUGUUAACUGGAAAAAUAUGUUCAUCAGGAAAUUCUUUUUUUAUCUCAUUAAACUUAAGGGGGGGGGGGGGUUUCUAAUCUAGACAAAUGGUCAGCUACUUGGUUCUCUAUCCCUUUCUUGUCCUUUAUCUCAAGGUCAAAUUAUUGCAGAAGUAAAAUCCAUCUUAAUAAUCUAGAUCGAGCAUCUUUCUUAGCUAAUAGGUAUCUUAAAUCUGCAUGAUCAGUAAAAACAGUGACCUUUGUUCCUAUCAAAUAGGAACGAAAUUUAGCAAAAGCAAACACUACUGCUAGUAACUCUUUUUCUGUCGUGGCAUAAUUCACUUGAGUCUCACUUAACGUCCUACUAGCAUAGUAAAUGGGACGGAAUAUCCUAUCUUUUCUUUGUCCUAAAACACCUUUUUUUUGGGUCCACUAGGCAAAUGCCUAGGGUUAGUUUUCAUAAAUAAAAUAAAAAGGAAGAUUACAACAAAUAGGAGAAAUAAAAUAAGGCGGGUUACACCGGCAAUGUUACCCAUAUAACACAGUCGGCAUAGACCUUACCUUAGCUAUCCUAUUGAGGCAAAUAAAAGCCUCAUGUACUAGCAAGCAUGUAAAAAGAAAGAACUCGCAAGAACUAAGAAUUGAAUGAUCAUCAUAGAAUUUAUAACAUGCUCUGUGAUGAUAUUACAUAGAACAAUACUAAUGUGAUGGUAAAAUAAACAGAUGAAGAAGUCAUAAAGGUGCUCUCUUUUCUCUUUUGUUGUUAAAAUUUCGAUUUGUAGAAUGUUGUCUUCAAUAAACAUAUGAAGAAGCCGUAAAGGUGCCCUUUUUUUCUCCUUUGUUGUGAAAAUUUCGAUUUGUAGAAUGUUGUAUUCUUCCACAUAAUUUUUCAAAAAGUCUUCAAACUUCAUGCUUUAUUCUUCAGACGAUUGGAUUUUGAAAGAAUUGUUUGAGCGACUUGUUUUUGUUUUGCAUUUCUCAUUGGGGGCCUCCUUAUGUUUACGUCUUCAAACGCCUUGCCGUCCCAACUUCUUUCCCUUCGACGAGACUUCUUAUUUCUUGCACUAUGUAAUGGUGACAAAUCUCCUUUUGUUGAAGCGUCUGCUCGGCAUUGGUUUAAAAUAUCCUCUUCUUUCCCUUCUUCAUAUAUGUGUCUUCCUGCGAAAAUUGGAUUUGCCAAUUCCAUCGCUUCCAAGAGUUGUCUUUCCUCGGACGAGAUUACUGAAGCAGUUGUGACGAGCUGCCCCGCCUGUGGCUUUGCAUUCCUUUGCUGCUUCUGAUUCUGACUAGUUGAUGGCAGUGCAGUUGCAAUUCCAUCACCCACUGAUGCUUCGGCUAGGCUUAAUUGACGAUUAUGAGCUGUUUCAUUCUUGUUGAACUUUGAUGUCACUACAGUUGUAAUAAGAGCUUUUGCAUUAUUUCUUGGAACAAAAACUGGAGCAUUAUGGAUUAAGCUACUAUUUUGAGUUGGUGUUUGUUUCAAAAUUGCACAACAGUUGUUAGUUGCAGUUUUCCUUUGAAAUUUUUGCUUGACUAGAUCAUCGCUGUCCUCUCCACUAUUAUCCUGAUCAGAUUCUUGAUCAUCUUCUUCCGAUGAAAAACCAGCGAAACCUUCACACCAUCUCUCCUCAUCAUCAUAAUCUCAUUGGUCUUUCCACAGUUUCGAUCCAAUGACCAGGUCCAUCCUCUUUGGCCAUGUAGGAGUGGAUAUGGUUGGAGAACUUUGAAAUUUGGACUGUAUUUGCCNNNNNNNNNNNNAUAUCAGUAACAUAAGCUGUAUUCUUUGCCUCUGUAUUCUGUGAGCUAUUUUGACUGUCACCAAGCUGCAAAUUUUCUCUCAAGAAUUUUCCUUCAUCAUCAUUGACAUUGGCAAGUGCGGCAAAUGAGUUUGAGAUUGAAGGUAAAACUGGAUUGUUUCCUGCGAUGUGAUUUUUAUUUUUGGUGAUUUGUUUAGCUAUAUCAUGUCGAGUUGUGUUCUAUAAAAACUCAUCGUUUGUACUAGUUGCUGUUAUUUGAAUCUCACAAACAAGAUUAUCAUUCCUGAAUAUAGCUCAAACAUCAGGACAUUGCAAAGGAGGUCUAUGAUCCAGUUCUGUUGAGAUAGACACUGCAUCAUGUGAUUCAAUGUCUAUCGACGUGUUGGAUCUUUUAUUAUCAAUUGCAACAGCAGAUUUUUUGGUAUGUUCAGAAAAAACCAAAAUUGAUGCUUUAUUCAGUUCUAAACAAUGAUGUUGUCCAGAGUUUCUUGAAGAAUCCAGUACAUUUGUAACUGUCGAUUUUUCCUUUGGUUAAACUGACAAAACAGAAUGAAGUGUACCAGAUGUGAAAUUAUCUGAUUCCUCCAAAUUAGUUCCAGUUGCUUGACCAAACAUAGUAGUGUUUUGAUUGAUAUUAUUCUGCAUUAUCUGCUACUUCAGGUUAUUGCUUUUGGCAUUGUCUAUUUGUGGCAUAGUAAAUGGAUCUGUAUGUUUCAAAUUUGAUACCAUCUUUUCAUUUUCAACACUGAUAGGCAACUUCAAUGGAACAGUGUCUGGCAAUUUAGCAAUUUACAAGACUGGACAGAAUCUUCCUUUGGCCUUGUAGGAAUUUCUGCAGUUGAAACACUUGUAGUAGAAGCAUGCCCAUUGCACUUGUGAUGCUUAGUGUCUGGCAAUUUACAAGACUGGACAGAAUCUUCCUUUAGCUUGGAAUUUCUGCAGUUGUAACACUUGUAGCAGAGGCAUGCCCAUUGCACUUGUGAUGCUGCCCAUCAAGAUCAGCCACAUGCCCAUCCUUUGCAUUAGUAGUAACAUGAUCUGCAGAAGCCAGCAUUAUAUGAUCAGUAUCCACAUAUGAUCGUGCAUAGCUUGUAGAAUCAGGUGCAUCUCUAGGAAGGUUGGGAGGUCUUUUAUCCAAUAGUGAAACUUCUUCCAUAGACUCCACUUGAAUUGCUGCAUCACUACACCUAUCAUUCACACCACCAACCAAAGCAAUCCUGGUCAUUACAUGUUGAUCUGCCUCAGCCCUAUCAAUCACAGUAGGUUGUGAAACCUUAGUCAUAGCAUUCUGUUUUGUAACAUUGAGAGGUUUUUUAUCCAAUUAUGAAACCUCUUCCAUAGACUCCAUUUAACUGUUGCAUUACUGCAACUAUCAUUCACACCAGCAACCACAAUAGUCCUCAACACUACAUAUUGAUCUGCCUCAGCCUUAUCUUUAUCCAAUUGUGAAACCUCUUCCAUAGACUCCACUUGAAUUGCUGCAUGACUGUACGUAUGAUUCACACCAGCAACCACAGCAGUCCUAGUCAGUACAUGUUGAUCUGCCUCAGCCCUAUCAAUCACAGUAGGUUGUGAAACCUUAGACAUAGCAUUCUGUUUUGUAACAUUUGGGGAUCCUUUAUCCAAUUGUGGAACCUCUUCCAUAGACUCCACUUGAACUGCUGCAUCACUGCACCUAUCAUUCACACCAGCAACCACAGCAGUCCUAGUCACUACAUAUUGAUCUGCCUCAACCCUAUCAAUCACAGUAGGUUGUGAAACCUUAGACAUAGUAGCCUGUUUUGUAACAUUAGGAGGUCCUUUAUCCAAUUGUGAAACCUCUUCCAUAGACUUUACUUGAACUGCUGCAUCACUGCACCUAUCAUUCACACCAGAAACCACAAUAGUCCUAGUCACUACAUGUUGAUCUGCCUCAACCCUAUCAAUCACAGUAGGUUGUGAAACCUUAGACAUAGCAGCCUGUUUUAAAACAUCCUUUACAGUAUCAUUUUGUACUGCUGAAUCAUUUCGAACAACAACCUCCUUCAAGCCAUCCUUUUCUUGUAAAACAUUAGAUAUUUUUCCAGCUCUUUUAUUAUUUAAAAACUCCCUUGCAUCCCCUUUUAAUUUAUCAACAGCAUCCACAUCGAUUCCAAGUAGAUCACUGACCAGAUUAUCCUCUGCCACCACCUCUGCUCCAGCUUUUUCUUUUUUAAUUCUACACGCCUUGUCAUCGUGACCUAGGUAUUUGUAGUAGGCACAAUACCUAGGAAGGUUGUCGUACACUAUUUCUUGAUGGAACUCGACAGAUUCACCUGAAUCUGAAUCUACAAUCUGCAGCAUGACCUUUUUAGGAUGUUUAUCCAAUAGAUCAAGUAUAACCUUAACUCUAGCCGCGCUAGGUCUCGUUCUAUCCUGUGUCGCUUCAUCAACAGCAAGAGGUUUUCCCACAGCUGAGGCUAUCGACAUUAAUGAUCUCUUAGCAAAGAAAUUUGGUGGCAGGCCUGGAAGCGAGAUCCAUACGACUGCCCUGGACAUCUCCUCCUUCGGAUUGAAUCCCAAAGACCAUGGGAAUGUUCUGAAGAUGUGUCACCUUAUCAACAGCAAGAGGUUUUCCUACAGCUAAGGCUAUAGACAUUGACGAUCUCUUAGCAAAGAAAUUUGUGGCAGGCCUGGAAGCAAAAUCCAUACGACUGCCCUGACGUCUCCUCCUUCGGAUUGAAACCCGAAGACCAUGGGAAUGUUCUGAAGAAAUAUUCGUCGCCUUUGGAUUUAAGAUAUCCAGUCGACUUUGAAAGGAAGUGAACGUAAUCAUUGAAGAGAUCAAACCUGAUUAACAGAUGACGAAAUUCCAAUUGUCCAAUGUUACAAUGACCUUGAACAUCGAAUUGCGACGAAAAUACUCUUCGCACUUUCGAUAUAUCAGGUCUGCCAUAAGAGAAUUUUAAAACAACUGCCUAAUGCAAACCUUCUUCCCUAAUGAAGUUGUUCACGUCUUCCAUUGAGAAUUGAAUAACUGGUUCACCAUGAUCAAAUUUAACUGGACAGAGCUCAAUUUUUGUCGGAGUAGGCUGAUUUGCUUGUAAUGUUAUAGCAUACGAUUGCUUUGAACUGUUUUUUUGGAUAAGCUUUUACGUUAUUUUGAAUUACCUCUCCCACAGCCAAAGGCUGGGGAGAGAUCAAUGCAACCAUGGCUACCCAGCUCACAAAACGACUACAAAAUUCUAGAGAUGUACUUGCUUGUAAUUUUGCAGCAUACGAUUGCUUUGAACUGUCUUUUGGAUCAUCUUUUACGUGAUUUUGAAUUACCUCUCCCACAGCCAAAGGCUGGGGAGAGAUCAAUGCAGCCAUGGCUGCCCAGCUCACAAAACAACUAGUAAAUUCUAGAGAUGGAACAAGGACACAUCCAUUGUUCUAUACAACCGAGAAUAGCAGAAUUGAUGAAAAUCUGAAAAAUUCCUUUGAGGUACAGUGAUUGUAUAAUCAAUUUCCUACUAGCGUAGUAAAUAGGACGGAAUAUCCUAUCUUUUCUUUGGCCUAAAACCGCUCCAACCGCUGUAUCAAUAGCAUCACACAUGACCUCAAAAGGUUGGUUCCAAUCAGGGGACACAACUGCAGGUGCAGUUGAUAACUUUUCCUUAAGGGUUUCAAACGCUUUAACACAUUCACCUGAAAAAUCAAACUUGAUGUAUUUCAUCAAGAGUUUAUUCAGUGGUUUUGAAAUCUUCGAGAAAUCUUUUAUGAAUCGUCUGUAAAAACCUGCAUGGCCUAGAAAGCUUCUAAUGUCUUUCACAGUUAUGGGAGGGGGUAAUCCUGCUAUAAGAUUAAUUUUUUCCUUAUCAACUUCUAUCCUUUUAACAGUGAUUUUAUGUCCUAAAACAAUUCCUUUUGUAACCAUAAAAUGUCAUUUUUCCCAAUAAAGAACUAAGUUUUUUUCUUACAUCUUUUAAGAACCAAGUCAAGUGGUUAAGACAAUCCUUAUAUGUUUUGCCAAAUAGUGUAAAAUCAUCCAUAAAUAUUUCAAGAAAUUUGUUAGUCAUGUCAGCAAAAAUUGCUGACAUGCAACGCUGAAAUGUAGCAGGGUUGUUGCACAAAUCGAAUGGCAUUCUCCUAUAGGCAUAUGUUCCAUGAGAGCAUGUGAAGGUUGUAUUAUCUUGAUCUUCUGGUGCAAUUGGUAUCUGAUUAUAUCCUGAAUAACCAUCAAGAAAAUAGUAAAAACCAUAUCCUGCAAUUCUUUCCAACAUUUGAUCAAUGAAUGGCAAAGGAAAAUGAUCAAGCCAAACCAUCAAGAAAAUAGUAAAAACCAUAUCCUGCAAUUCUUUCCAACAUUUGAUCAAUGAAUGGCAAAGGAAAAUGAUCUUUUCUAGUGAUAUCAUUGAGACGUCUGUAAUCAAUACAGACUCUCCAUCCUGUAACAGUCCUGGUAUGUAUGAGCUCAUUAUUUUUAUUUUUUAUAACUGUCAUACCUCCUUUAUUUGGUACUACCUGAACGGGACUUACCUACGGGCUAUCAGAAAUGGGGUAUAUACUACCUGCUGCCAACAGCUUUACGAUCUCUUUCUUCACUACUUGCUGCAUUGCUGGAUUCAAUCUUCUUUGCGUCUGGACUAUUGGCUUGUAGAUAUCCUCCAUGAGGAUUUUGUGUGUACAAAUAGCCGGACUAAUUCCUUUAAUAUCUUCAAUAGUCCACCCUAAGGCUCCUUUGUGUGCUUUCAAUACUUUAAUCAAACUACUUUCUUAUUCUGCAGUCAGAGAAAAGGAAAUAAUUACUGGAAAUAAUUCCUUCUCAAGAUAUACAUAUUUCAAAUGAGAACUGAGAGUUUUGAGUUCACUUUUUUAUUGAACUUCAUCGGAUUUCAUUUCUUCUUCCCCUGAAUCUUUGUCAAAUAUUUCAGCUUCUCUUCUGAUGGUGGGAUCAUCGUCCUGUGUGGUGCUUGAUUUGAUCAAGCAUCUUUCCAUUCAAUCUGGAAUUAAUUGAUCAUCUUUGAAUUCAUCUGUAAGAUAACUAAUCAUGACAAUUGAAAAACGUGAAUAUGAUGUUUCAGCUCCUGAAUAUCUUAGUAUCUUUUGCAUAUCAAAGAUUACUCUCUCUUUAUCAACUCUCAAAAUUAGUUGUCCUUGAUGAACAUGUAUAAUUGCUCUUCCUGUAGCAAGAAAUGAUCUACCUAAAAUUAUUGGUUCAUUAGGACAUUCUUUCAUUUCAAGCACAAUAAAAUCUACAGGGAAAAUAAACUUAUCUACUCUUACGAGUACAUUUUCAAUUAUUCCCAUAGGUUUCGUAGUACUUUGAUCUGCAAAUUGAAGAGAAACACUUGUGUCUUUAAUUUCACCAAGAUCUAACUUUUUAAAAUAGAAAAUGGCAUAAAAUUUAUUGAAGCUCCAGAAUCACAAAGUGCUUUUUCAAAAUAUACUCCUCCCAAAGUGCAUGGAAUUGUAAAAUUGCCUGGAUCACCAAGUUUUUAUGGUAGCUUAUUUUGAAGUAUAGCACUGCUUUUUCCGUAAGCAUUACCAUAGAAACUUCUUCUAAUUUUCUUUUACUUGAUAAAAUUUCCUUUAAAAAAUUGUCAUGAGAAGGCAUUUGUAACAAAGCAUUAGUAAAAGGAAUAUUGAUGUGAAUUUGUUUUAAAAUCUCCAAAUAUUUUGCAAAUUGGUUGUCAAGCUUUUCUCUUUUCAUUUUUGUGAAAAGGGAAUAAUCACAGGGAUAGGACUUAAUUUUUCAAUAUUUCUUUCUUCUUUUUACUUGACUUCAUUUUUUCAGAUGGUUCAGAGGGUAUUUUAACAUUCUUACCGUUGUUUACCUGUUGUUCUGAUCGGUCUGCAUAAGGUUCAUCAGACUCCUUACCCGACCGUAAGGUAAUGUCCUUAAGGUGAUCCUUUGGAUUUUUCUCUAUAUUACUUGGGGGUUCUUCCAAUUCCGUACCCCACCGUAAGGUGAUGGCCUUAAGGUUUUCCUUUGGAUUUUUUCUCAUUAUUGCUUGGUAAGGGGCCUUGAAUUUUUUCUGACACAAGAGUUGCCAAUUAGCUAAACUGGAUUUCCAAAUUUUUAAGGGCUGAAUUUUGGCUUUCCAUUUUUUUAUCAGUGACCUUAAUGUAUUUGUACAAAAGGUCUUCAAGACUUGAAUGAGCUUGUUGAGGCCUUUGUUGAUAUGGGGUUGCUUGCUGAUAAGGUUUAAAAUUCAAUUUCCCUUGGUUUUGAUUCUGAUAUCCGGGUGGACCUUGUACCUGUGGCUUCUGGAAGCUCUGAGAGUUCUCGGCACCAUUUGGAUUGCUCCAUUGAAAUCCUGGAUGUUUAUGUGCCAUUGGACUUCCAAAGGGGUACUGCUUGUAACCGAUGGCAUUGACUUGUUCAUCAUUUUGAUUAAUUCCUUGGCAUUCAUGAUUCAAAUGUUUUCCUUACUGCUUGUAACCAAUUGCAUUGACAUGUUUAUCAUUUUGAUUGAUUGCUUGGAAUUCAUUAUUCAAAUGGUUUCCUCCACACAUAUCACAAGCCUCUGACUGGUUUGAUUGUUUUGUAUUCACCUGAAAAGAUUCAAAUUUCUGUGCCAAAGAAACAAUUUGUUGUGUUAGUGUGUUUAAAGCAUCAACUUGAUUUACCGUAGCGGCCUUUUGAUGAUUACACGCUCAGAUGGCCAUUGAAUGGUAUUUUCACAAAUUUCAUUCAAUAAUUGUAAUGCUUCUUCAGUGGUUUUUUCCAUCACAGAACCUCCUGCAGCUGCAUCUAUCACAUUUCUAGAUGAGGGUUUUAGCCCGUGACAAAAAAUAUACAACUGCAUGUGUUCAGGAAUAUCAUGAUGCGAACAUUUCCUUAACAUUUCUUUUAACCUUUCCCAAACUUGAUAAACUGACUCUGUGUCAGUCUGCUUGAAAUUAGAUAUGUCUUGUCUUAACUUUGUGGUUUUAGUAGGGGAAAAGUAUUUAUUUAAAAAUUUCUAAUCAUUUGGUCCCAUGUGGUAAUUGAUCCUUGAGGCAAACUUCGCAACCAAGUCUUGGCAUCUCUAUUUAUGUGUCCAGGUCGAUUAGAGGUUCGGCUUCCUUCUCCCACACCUUCGUAACCAAGUCUUAGCGUCUCUUUUUAAAGAAAAAGGAAAUAGCCUUAACUUAAUUGCUUCAGGGGAUACUCCAUUAUACUUAGUUGUUUCAACUAGUUCUAGAAAAUCAAUUAGAUGACUAUGUGGAUCUUCACUUGAAUCUCCCGUAAAGAUACAAGAUUGUUGGAUCAUUUGAAUCAGGCCAGUCCUGAUUUCAAAGUUGUUGGCUACCACUGGGGGUUUCUGACACUAGAUGCACAGUUGAAGUGGUCAGGUCUAGCAUAAUCCUCAGGAUUCUGUUUGCUGGUCUUGGCGCCAUUUCAACUAAUUGAUCCUCCAUUUGGACUGGUGGUGGUACUUCGCAUAGGUUGAUAUUUUCUACUCCCUGAUUUUCCAUUCAUUCACAAGUUAUACUAUGAGAAGAUGAUGUUUGUUCUUUCCUGCAUAAUAAAGAGAUCUUUCAAUUUCAGGAUUAUAAUGUGCCAACUCUUUUAUAGAAGAGCGGGUCAUAAACUAAGUGAUUUUUGUUUGGUUUGAAAUAAGAUUUUCUUUAAUGAAAAUUAAACUUAAUUCCUACAAUAACAGUGUCACUAAAAGAAAAUAGUAAAAGAAAAGUAGUAGUAGUGAAUAGUACACUUAGUAAUAAUAAUUAUCUAUAUUAAAGGAAAAGAUAGUUAGUACAAACAGUAUAUUAUGAUGAAAGUGCUAUGACAUGAAGUUGAUGACAAUAUCAUAAGAGUAAUAUAUAUACACAUUAAUUAUAUCUACACUUAUUAAUAAUAAAAACAGCAGGUAAUGGUUCCAACAAUGAGAAAAAAAAUAUUAGAAUGGAUAUAAUAGCAAUAGUUAUAGAAAUAUUUAGCAGGUGAUUAUAAUACUAACAAAAAUAAGGAUAUCAAUACAUAUAAUAAUAAAUUCUCAAAUUAGUAAUAAAAUAUUUAAUUUGAAGUAGACUUAUGCCAAUCCCCGGCAACGGCGCCAAAAAUUUGAUGAGGCCAAUGUGUAUAAGAUUUUCCUGCUCAUGCUUAGUCAAAUUCUAAUAUAGUUUAAGAUAUCGUCCCACAAAGAUUGAAAAAUCUAGCUACAGACUUAUAAUAUUCUUACUACUAUUUGAGAGAACCAAAUUGAUAUAAUUCCGAGAGUUUUCAUCACGAAAAACAAGCUUCUUCUUUGUGGUGAUCAUCUCCUUUCGAUUUUUUUUCCAAAACACCAAACCAAUCGCAAUUUUCGAUCGAGAUCACUGUAGAUUCGCAUUAUAAGUCUGCAAUAUGCAUCGUUACUCCUUUCUGAUGUGAAGUUUAUGGACUGUUGACAUGUGAUUUAUUCGGAUAGAGAUAUGCUAUUUAAAGCAAUAACAGAUCGGCAAAUUCCCGGAAGAUACUGUAGCAUCGACAUUUUAAUACAAUUUCAGCACUUUCGUAGUAGUGAUAUAGCGUCAAUAUGGAGAAUUUUUUCUGAUCGCAACCAUGGAUGCUCCGUCCUCUCCCCAGCAUCUGGCUGUGGGAGAGGUUCAUAAAGUUCUAAACACUGCUCCAAAAGAAAACAAAAAGAAAUCGUAUGCCUCAACACUUCUAACUAAGCAAUGUGAUCCAUCAAAUAUAGAGCUAUGUCCAGUUUUAGUUAACCAUGGUGAACCUGUAAUUCAAUUCACAAAAUAAGAGGUUAACAAUUUCAUUAGGGAAGAAGGAUUGCAUAACGCAGUUGUUAUUAAAUUUUCAUAUGGAAGACCUGAUAUAUCGGAAGUGCGAAGAAUAUUUUCAUCGCAAUUUGAUGUUCAAGGUCAUUUAACAUUGGUCAUUUGGAGUUUUGUCAUCUUUUAGUCAGGUUUGAUCUUUACAAUGAUUAUGUUCAUUUCCUUUCAAAGUCGACUGGAUAUCUUAAAUCCAAAGGCAACAAAUUUUUCUUUAGAACAUUCCCAUGGUCUUUAGAAUUCAAUCCGAAUGAGGAGACGUCGAUGGCAGUCGUAUGGAUUUCUCUUCCAGGUCUGCCACCAAAAUUUUUUGCUAAGAGGUCGUUGUUGUCUAUAGCCUCAGCUGUGGGAAUACCGCUGGCUAUGGACAAGGCAACACAGGAUAGAUCGAGACCUAGCGCGGCAAGAGUUAAGGUUAUAGUUGAUCUUUUGGAUAAUCAUCCUAAAAAGGUCAAGCUGCAGAUUUUUGAUAAAAUAUCAGGUAAAUCUUUCGAGAUUCAUCAACAAAUAGUGUUCGAUAACCUGCCUAAGUAUUGUGCUUAUUGCAAGCAUCAAAGUCACGAUGACAAGUCGUGUAGAAUUAAAAAAGAAAAAUCUGGAGUAGAGGUGGUGGCAGAGAAUCAUUUGGACAGUGAUCUGUCUUGUCAAGAGAUCGUUGAUUUAGACAAAUUACAAGAGGAUGCAAGGGACUAUAUAAAUUCAAAACGAUCUGGACAAGGAGCAAAGGAUUCACAAGAAAAAGAUGAUAAUUCAGGAGUUGAAUUAACAAAAGUCUCACAACAGACUGUACAAAGAGCAGAAGGAGUGACUGUGGAUAAUGCAGUCGUGCAUGAUGUUGUUGCUCCAACUGAUUAUGUUACACAAUCUGGUAUGGUAAAGGAUGCCAUGAAAACGACUGCUGAUUUGAAGCCUACAACAAAUUCUGUGAAUGAUAGGAGUGAUGUUGAUCAUGAAAUGGCUAGGAAUCCUGUGAAAACUGCUGUAUCUGAUGCACCACAUGCAGCAGAUCCAGUUGAGUCUAUGCAAGAGGUUUUGAAGUUGGAUAAAUGACCUUCAAAGCAUUCUACAGAUGUACCUGCUCCUGCUAUCUAUGCACGAUCAUAUGAGCUUGCUACUGGGGCAAUGCACUCUACUACAGAUAGCAUUUCUUUUAGUGCACAGGAUGGGCAGGUGGUUGUUUUUGAGGGUGAGGCAUUAAAACUGAAUUGAACAGCAGUUGUGGUUCCCUCUCAGCAUAACAAAACUGAUGAUAUUCACAAAGGACAGAAUCAAAGUUGCAAUGUGACGCAAAUAGAAAGUGAGGCCAAAGAGCACUGGGUUGAUGCAACUCAAUCAAACGUUACACCUGCAGACACUAUCCCAAGGCCAAAGGGCAAUACUGCAGACAGUGUUUUGUCUAGUUCAAAGGCUGGGCAACUACUUGUCUUUAGGGUGAGGCAAUAAAGCUGAAUUCAACAUCAGAUUUGAUUACUUCUGAUCAUACUUUUGUCUAGUUCAAAGGCUGGGCAACUGCUUGUCUUUGAGGGUGAGGCAAUAAAGCUAAAUUCAACAUCAGUUUUGAUUACUUCUGAUCAUACCAACACAGAGGAUUUUCACAAAAGACAGAAUCAAUGUUGUAAUGUGUCGCAGCUAGGAAGUGAGGACAGAGAGCACUGUGCUGAUGCAGUUCAAUCAAAUUUUACAUCUGCAGACACUCUCACAAUGCCAAAGGGUGAUUCUGCCCAGUUUUAUAAAAUACAGUAUACUGGUCCUUUGAAUGUGCAUUCUAUUCUUGUACCUGAAAAGAUUGUAUCAAAUUUGCAACAUGCUAUUUUGUAAAAUACAAUAUACUGGUCCUUUGAAUGUUCACUCUAUUCUUGUACCUAAAAAGAUGGUAUCAAAUUUGCAACAUGCUGCUCCAUCUAAUGUACCAGAAGUUGACAAUACAAAAAGACAUGAAGAUAAGCAAAUUGAGCAGCAGCAGAUGACAGUAACAAAUUUACUGGAUGCUUCAAAAAAUCCUGCACAUCUACAUUGUAAUGAACUGAAUAAAGCAGCAGCUAUGGAUACUUUUGAGCAUACCAUAAAAGAGUAAACAAGACAGCAUCUUAGCUGCAAUGUGCAGCAGCUGGCAACUGGGGCAGAAAAUGUAUCACCUACAGUACAUCACAUUCUCAAGACAAAUAUGCAAAUAACAGCAACUAUUACAGAAAAUGAGGUUGCGAGAACACACUUCAAUUGGAUACCUCUAACCAGCCUGAUAUUCAGCAAGGCAAUAUGAUCUAUUUGGUAAAUACACCCGCUGCAGUUUCUAAGGAUUUACAUCCUCCUGUUGAUACACAAAAAUCCAGUGAAGAUACUGAACAAUCUGUAAAUAGCUGGUCAGAUUUGUCCACCAUAAAAGAAACUUCAAAAGCCAAAAUCAAUACCCACAGCGCAGAUAAGAGUCCAGCUUUACCAAACUCAUUUACUGCACCUACAAACGUCAAUAAUGAGAAUGCAAAACUGAUUGGACAGAAUGUGCAGAAGGCCAAAAGUUUUCUCCAAUCAUACUUUCUUCCAAUAAACCAUCAACCUCCACUGCAAAUAUUUACCUUAGCAUGAGAGACAUGGUCAUUAAAUCCAAACUGUGGAAAGACCAACGAGAAUUUGACGAUGACGAGGGCUACGGAGAAGGGAUGGCUGGAUAUUCAUCUUCAGAAGACUACCAAGAUUCUGACGAUGACAGUGCAGGAGAGGAUUUUGAUGAGCAGUUCAAGCCAAAAUUUCAAAGACAAUUUUCUGACGACGACAGUGCAGAAGAGGACUUUGAUGAGCAACUCAAGCCAAAAUUACAAAGGCAAUCAGCGACAAUCAAUGGUCCUGGAAAUAUGAAACAUGCAGCAAACAAUAACAGCAACUUGAACCAUAAUGCUCCAGUAUUUGUUCCAAGAAAUUCGACAAAGUCAGGUGAAACAUAUGUUGUUGUUCACAAUGCAACAUCAAUGCAAACAUCUGCCAAGAAUCAGAUUGUACCAAUAAACUCAAUCACAACUAUAAAGGAGACGAAAAUGUCGGAUACAAUGAUGCAACCUUCCCAUAAACUUCUGGAUAAGAGGGCAGAAAGACAUAUAUAUGAAGAAGGGGAGAAAGAGGAUAUAUUAAAGCAAUGCCGGGCAGAUGCGUCAAGAAAAGGUGAUCUGUCGCCAAUGCAUAGUAAAACAAGUAAGAAGUCUCGAGAAAGGGAUAGAAGUUGGGACGGCAUGAUGUUUGAAGACUUUAACAUAAGGAGGCCUCCAAUGAGAAAUGCAAAACAAAAACAAGUCACUCAAAUAGAAAGGGAUAGAAGUUGGGAUGGAAGGAGUUUUGAAGACUUAAACAUAAGGAGACUUCCAAUGAGAAAUGCAAAACAAAAAAAAGUCACUCAAGCAAUUAUAUCAAAGGCCAAUUGGUCGAGGAACAAAAACUAUGGACGACUAAUUUACAAGUUCAAAUGUUCACAAAAUUGGAGAAAAGAGAACACCACGAUGUUUUCUUCAACUUUUUAUUUUUCCAUCUCAUUUGCAUUUUUCAAUGUAAUAUCAUCACCGAGCAUGUUAUAAGCUCGGGGAAGAUUCUUGUUCUUUCUUUCUUUUUACAUGCUUGUUAGUUCAUAAGGCUUUAUUUGGCCUUAAUAGGAUUAAUAAGGUAAGGUUUACGCCGGUUAUUGUUAUAUGGGAAACAAUACUGGUGCUAUCCCCCCCUUAUUUUAUUUUUCCUACUUGUUGAAAUUUUCUUUUUAUCUUUAUUAAUGAAAUCUAGCCCUAGGCGAUUGCCUAAUGGUUGCCAAAACAAAAAAAAACAAAAAUAAAAUAAAUUGAUGAAGUUUUGUUUGUUGAAGAUCUAAAUUGCUUAAGUUGAAACAAAAUAACUUUCGGAAAAUUUAUAUUAAAAUAGAGUUGGGAAUCAUUGAAUUCACUCGAUAGCGUGAUAAUAAUAAAAUCUUAGGCUAUACAUGUAUUUCUCUUAGGGAUAACUAUUUAUUGCUAAUACAAUUAUAUUUGCUCACCAAGAAAUAAUCAAUUAAUAACACUCCGUGAGAAUUAUGUAAAUCAAUUGAUAUAUGACUCGUGGCGAUUAAACUGAAAUAAUUUUCUUGCCUGGAUUGUGCUAUAAGAUAAUAAAAUCCUCUUGCGAUUACUUUUUACUAAAAAUCAAUAAUCUUGCCAACUACAACUCCUCCGUGAUAAUUAUAAUGGAAGUAAGUAAGAUUACAGACUUGGAAUGAUAGAUUAAAAAGAACUGCUCUCACUAUAUUAUUUUACCCAAUAGAUAUCGUAUAUUUAUUUUGAUUCGUGAGAAUUACAAAAUUGACAUACAACUAACUUUGGAGAAUAAAUAGAUAGAAGUGAUAANNNNNNNNNNNNNNNNNNNNNNNNNNNNNNNNNNNNNNNNNNNNNNNNNNNNNNNNNNNNNNNNNNNNNNNNNNNNNNNNNNNNNNNNNNNNNNNNNNNNNNNNNNNNNNNNNNNNNNNNNNNNNNNNNNNNNNNNNNNNNNNNNNNNNNNNNNNNNNNNNNNNNNNNNNNNNNNNNNNNNNNNNNNNNNNNNNNNNNNNNNNNNNNNNNNNNNNNNNNNNNNNNNNNNNNNNNNNNCACUCUUAGAAAAUUCCCAAAAGACUACAAGAUAAAGUGAAAUAUAUAAAGAAAGAAGUAAAGACUAAAUCUAGAGAAAAGUUAUUUUUCUAGGUACGUAUGAUCUUCCUCUCUUCAACACAAAUAUGAUAUACUAUUUAUAGAAAUCAAAUAUCAUAAGGUGUCAUGUUGCCUCAUGCUUCCUUUAUCAUGAUGCCUUGUGCUUCUUUCCACGAUGCCUCGUGCUUGUUUUGCCAUGAUGCCUCGUGCUUCUUUUUUAUUCCUUUAUUUUCUUUAUCAUGAUAUUUUUAUCUGCAAAAUACUGUCAAUCAAAGGAAUAACUUUCUUUGAAUAGCCACUAAUGAAUUUUAAAUAAUAAUUUGCUAACCCAAGGAAAUAACUCAACUCUUUCACAGAAUUAAGUUCUUGCCACUCCACAAUGACAUGCACUUUUUUCGGGUCUAUCCGCACUUGAUUUUGGCUCAUCAAGUGUCCAAGAUUUGAUCUCUUAUUUAGCAAACUCACACUUCCAUUUUCACAUAAAGCUAGUACUCCCACAUAUGAGAGAACACCUUAAUCGAGUAUGACAUGUGUUUAUCCAAGGUUCGACUAUAGAUGAUAACGUCGUCUAAAUAGACAACUACAAAGUCAUCCAAGUAUUCAUACAGCACAUCAUGCAUCAGGUUGAAAAAAGUAGCAGGGGAAUUUGUCAACCCGAACGGCAUAACAAGGAAUUAAUAUGAGUCAUACCUCGUACCACAUGCAGUUUUAGACUAUCACCUUCAGCUAUUCGUACUUGCCAAUAACUAGACCUUAAGUUAAGAGUCGUGAACCAACAUGCCUUGAUCAAUCUGUCCAUCUAGUCUUGCACCAAUGGAACUGGAUAUUUAUUUUUUUCAGUCACUUAUUAAAUGCCUAAUAAUCAACAUACAUCCGAAGCAUCCCAUCAUAUUUCUUUUGAAAUAAACCAGUUGCACUAAAUGGAGUUUUUGAUGAUUGAAUCAGUCCCGCAUCGAGCAACUCAUUCAAUUGUUUUUGCAAUUCAGCCAACUUUUUUGGCGCCAUCCGAUAAGGAGGUCGAGCAGGAGGCAUUGAACCCGACAAAAACUCUAUCUUGUGAUCAAUAGCCCUCCACGGUGGUCACUCAAUAUUUGAGCGACACAGCUCGGCACUUCAACCUUCACAUCGAGCUUCACCACAACCAUAGCGAUAAGGAAAGUAUUAUAUCCCAUUUUGAAACCUUUUUCGACCAUCAUGGUAGAAACUAAUGAAGCCCUACGUUGAGUUUCAUCUUUCCCAUAAGAUGAAUAACUUUGACAAAAUCAGGAGUCAUUUCAUGUAUAAUCAUUACUCCGUCUAAGUGAGGCAUUGGAACAAAGAGGGUUUUCCACAUAAAGUCGAUUCUAAGGAUCACCUCAAAGUCCUCUAGUGGAAUCACCAUCCACUUAAUCUUCCCCUUCCAGUUCCCAACAGACAUAGAAACGUUAUAAGCUAUACCCAUAAUGGCUUGGGCUUUCGCAUUCACAGUAUUCAUGUGAGAGGGAUACUUGCUCACACUCAACCCAUACUUCUGCACCAAUUUCGUCGAGAUAAAAAUGUGAGUAGCUCAAGUAUCUACCAUUGAUAUCACACUCUUCUCUCCAAUUUUUAUUUCAAUGUGCAUCAGAAAAGAGUGAGGAUUGGUCUUGUCACUUGUAGCAUUAAGUAACGAAAUAACAUUCAACAGUUAUAAAGGAUUCACCAAGGCAGCAACAGUUAUUUUUGAUUAUAAAAAAAUAAGUAACAAAUUUGCCUCAAUAAACUAAAAGAAUAAAUUUCAAAUAUAUAUCUAUAUAUAUAUAUAUAUAUAUAUAUAUGUGUGUGUGUGUGUGUGUGUGUGUGUGUGUNNNNNNNNNNNNNNNNNNNNNNNNNNNNNNNNNNNNNNNNNNNNNNNNNNNNNNNNNNNNNNNNNNNNNNNNNNNNNNUAUAUAUAUAUAUAUAUAUAUAUAUAUAUUAUAAUUUUUAAAUAACAUUAAGAUUUUUUAUUAAACCUAUAUUAAGUAUUUUUUGAGAUUUUAGCUGAGACAAUUCUCUUAAUAUUAUCACAGAAAAGAAAAGAAAUUUUUUCAUAUCUAUACCAUAUAUGGAACCUUAUUAUUAAAAACGUGCAUAAUUCCAUUAUUACUCGCCAUGUUUAUAUUUUGCGUACAAAAUUUAUACCAUUCAUUAAAUACUCAAUAUUAAGAGUUGAUUCCUUCUAAAUUAGGCGCCUACAAAUCUAGGAUAAAUAUUUGAAUAGAUUAUUCCUUUCAAAUUAGGCGCCUAAAAUUUGGGACUAAAUAUUUUUUUCAUAUUCCAAAUUAGGCGCCUGAAAAUACAUUGGAAUCUGAUUUUGAGAGUCUUCCAUAAAGAAGAAAAAGAGAAUCAAAUUUUCCAUUCCGAAUAAAUAACAGUGUCCUUUCUUCUGCUACCUCUUUUUCUACGUCCCAAAGCACAAAAAAAUACAAAAAAGACAUAACACAGCAGCAACACCAAUGCGUGCAUUGUGAGAUUACAAAGACGCCUCAAUGGAGGGCAGGUCCAGUGGGACCAAAAUCCUCUUGUUCUUGACGGGAAUGAGCUUAUGCGCAUCUACUUGUGUCAAUAAAUUUUCUACAAAUAAACUACAAAUCAGUUUAAGUAUGUAUAAAGCAAUAUGGUUUUAAUGGUAUCUACAAAUUAUUACAUUUAUACUACAAUUAAACUGCAAUCUAUGUUGAAAAAAAUAUUGACUACAAAAUUUUCUCAUAAUCUACAAAUUUUCUACCAAAAAAACUAUAAAUCUGUUAAAGUAUGUAUGAAGCAGUAUUGUUUUUGAAGGGUAUCUACAAAGUUACCACAUUUAUACUACCAUUACACUACAAUCUAUGUUUGAAAAAAAACUAUUGACUACAAAAUAUUCUCUUUAUCUAUAAAAUUUCUACAAAUAAAUUACAAAUCAGUUUAAGUAUUGUAUAAAGUUGUAUUGUUUUUAAGAGUAUCUAUAAAACUACCACAUUUGUACUACAAUUAAACUAUAAUCUAUGUUGAAAAAAAAUAUUGACAACAAAUUUUUCUCUUAAUCUACAAAAUUUCUACAAAAAAACUACAAAUAAACCAACCUUUCUUUGUAUUUUUUUAGAAGAAGAAAAAAAUGGAGAAGAGAAAGAAAUGGGAGGGGGGAAACGACGAUGGUCAGAUCUUGAGAAUAAAUUGUUUCUGUUUUUGUAUGAACGAACAAAAUCAGAAGGAAAAGUUGGAAAUCUUCAGAACUCUCUCUAUAGAUGAACUCAAAGUGAAAACCAGAAGGAGAAAAAUAAAAAAACCCCUAGCUUCCAAGACAGCAGUCGUUCCUACCUGAAAACAAAAAUCAAACGAAUCCUUUCUUCUUCGAAAAACAGAGGCGUUUCAGUCAAAUUUGAAUUCUUUUAAGUACUGUUUGAGGUCGUCGAGUCCAGGGGAGAGAGAAACGUUAUGGGAGGUGGGAGGAGAGAGAGACGGUAAGCGAAAAUGAGAGAAUAUACGCUCCUAAAUUAACGCCUAAUAUAAAUAAAGCAUUAAUUAUACCCAUAAUUUGAAUUAUGGUAUAUAAAUGUUAAUUUGGUAUGCUUAAAUGUAAUAAAUACAAACCUUAAAUAUUGAGGGUAAUAAGGUUUCAUAUAUGAUAUAGGUAGGUAAAAGUUCCAAAAGAAAAAGACUAGCGUAGGCACAAUUUAAAGCUGCAUUUCAUGAUACUUACAUGCCAUCCAACGUGUAAAGAUUCUUAACUGCGCCGUUUAAACUUGUGACUGCACUUAGCUACUAUUUCUAUCCGGUAGUAAAUUAAUGUUUAUCAUAAAAAUUUGUAUAUAAUUAUUUCAUAAUUGAUUUAAUUGUAAUGAUAUUUUUAUUUAAUAUAUGUAUAAAAAUUAAAUUCUUGAAGGAAAAAAAUAGAAGAGGAAAACUAAAUUAUAAACUCAACAAAUUGUUAGGGAUGGUAAAAUAAAAAGUGUUAGGGAGCUUCCCAAGAAGGAUAUUCAUUCAUUUUUUACUAAAUUAAUAAAAAGAAGUUAAAGACACAUACCUCUAACAAUUAACACAUCAAUAAUAAGUAGUAUUAAACGAGACCAGCGUCCAUUUAACUAGUAUUAAAAUCAGUAAUAUCAUUUACAAUGCACUAAAUUACUGGGAAGCUCCCUACUGUAAAAAUAAAUUUUUAUUUGUUCCUGCUCGAUAUUAAUGUACCUUACAUAUAUCAAUGAAUAUAUGAUAUAUUUUUUCUCUACGAAUAAUCUUAAUAAUUACUAACUAUUUUAAACUAAUAUGUUCUCUCACCUCAAUUAUCACUUAUUUACAGUAAACUUAUGUUUUUUUAAUGUAAAUAUCAAAUGUACAUAAGUAUUUUCCUGAUAACAACUCACACAUUUUUAGAAGGGAAAAAAAAAGUGAACAUGACUUGUCAUUGGAGUUACAAUUAUUAAGGUAUUACAUUAUAUAUUCCUAGUAUCCUUCUAUUAUUGUUGAUAUAUAUAUAUAUAUAUAUAGAUAUAGGAGUACUUACUAUUUUGGAAAACUUUAGUUAAAUUCGGUAAAGAUUCUUUGUCAAAUAAUCCUUUUGUUGUUUCUUCUUCAACCCAAAAGAGUACACAAAAGUAGAAAGAAAAAAGAGAGAAUUAAGAAUAGAACAUGACUCGUGUUGGAAAAUUUUACCAAAUGAUAUAGUAAUAUGCAUAAUCCAAGCUGCACUUUGUACAUGUAUAUAUUUCCAAUAGAAUAGACAAAGAGUGAACUGUGAAAAGGCAGAAGAAGCUUUGACUAACUCUCUCAACCAUUGCCACACCUACACCAUUCCUCCGUUGAACAAUUACCAUUAAAUACACAUAAAACAAAAACCAAAGCUUUCUAUUGUUUCAAUUGAAAUUACCUUUUGUUGAUUCUUUUCUCUAUCAGAAGCUGACCCUUUGCUUCCAUUUUACUGCAUUGACCUCACCUUUUUGGGAUUAGGUUUUCUCGUUGAAUGGUUUAAAUGAGGAAUCUUGAUUUUUAGUUGUGGAUGACCGGGAAUCAUGGAUCAGUCGGUCUUGUUGAUCUGUGUUUUUCUAUGCUUAACUGGGCUGCUUUUGAGCUCGUCACCGGUUGCCGGUAACGCUGAAGGUUUGUUCCUUUUUCAAGAUUUUGGUGAAUAUGUGUGGAGUUAAAAAGAUGUUUAACUUUCUGACUCAAAUUUGGUUUUGUUGGCUUAAUUGAGUUGACUGUUCAAUUGGGAUUCCUCUUUACAUAAAAAGUUGAACUGUAGCUUGUUGAUAUUAUUCUAUGAAGGAUUUAAGUUAUAUUUAAGCAGGUUGCUACCAGCUUUUCCAGGUUACCCAUUGAGGCUUAUUAUAGAUGUUACCCGUAGUUGGUUUCUGAGUAAUUUAUUCCACUGUCAGUGUAUACAUAUUAAACACAUUUAUGGAUUCGCCGUGCUCUUGCAAGAGACAAUCUUAGCACCAAAUAUUUGGUUUGGUUAUGCACCAGUGGCGGAGCCAGGAAUUAUACAAAGGGGUGUCAAAAAAAAAUUAUUACUAUGGGGAAUGGAACUUGCAACCUUCUAUAGUUUUUGACACCCCUUAACUAUUACACUAAGAGUUUGUCUUGUGUCAAGGGUUGUCGACCCCUUGUAAAUAUUCAAUAUUUAAGAAAAAUAUACCUAAAAUACCUAUCUACACAGUGUUAUUUUCCGGCGUAGGGGUGUAAGGGUGGCUCCGCCACUGUUAUGAACUAUAUGGACCCCAAAAAAUGUCCCGGGGUCGGGGGGCAGGCACAUUGAGGGGGAGAGAGAGGAGGCAUUUUGCUGUAAAUAAUACAACAAAAUUUCUAGUUUUAAUGUGUGAUGAGGUGAUCAUUGAUGUAUAAUCUUUUAUGUAAGACAGGUGAUGCUUUGUAUGCUCAGAAGACCAAUUUGGGUGAUCCUAAUACUGUUCUACAGAGUUGGGAUCAAACACUUGUUAAUCCUUGUACUUGGUUCCAUGUGACAUGCAACAAUGAAAAUAGUGUUACUAGAGUGUAAGCUACACAAACUCUUUUUUUUUUUUGGUCCCUUUAUGUUAUGAGUUUCAUUUGUGAAUUUUGGCUGCAUUUUUUUACACAGUGAUCUUGGAAAUGCAAAUCUAACAGGUCAACUGGUACCACAGCUUGGCCAACUCCAGAAAUUGCAGUACUUGUAAGUUAAAUAUUCGUUGGAUCAAUAUGUCUCAAGGAUGUUACAGUUUGUUCUUUGACUUGUUCCAUAACUGCUUUUUGGCGACUCAGUUAGUUUUCUUUGUGAAUAUGUCCCAUGGAUGUUACAGUUUGUUCUUUGACUUGUUCCGUAACUGCUUUGUGGCGACUCAGUUAGUUUUCUUUGUAAUCAUGUAAUCAGUAUUCAUGACAUAAAUGUACAAUGAGCUUUGUAUAUAUUUGCCUGUGCAGAAGAAAAAUUCUAGUGUUUGAUUACCUAGGAAAUUUUUAUGUUACUAAAUAUAUUAUUGUCCUAAGUAAGUGUUAGAACAACCCCCAAAGGGUGGCCUAGUGGUCAAGGUGUCGGAGUAACAACACAAGGUUUGAAUCCUUGCGGACGAGACACUAGGUGAAUUCACUCCAUCUACCUAAGAGUUGGUGGCCAAAGUUACCCAAUACUUAUGCUGGUGGGAGAUAGCAUGUAUUUAGUAGAUUAGUCGAGGCCCAAGCUAGCUGACUCGAACAAUAUCUCUAUUAGAAAAACUGAAUCAUUGUAUAUAGCUGGUUUUGGGGAGUAAUAAGUUUAUUGAAAGAUCAUAUAGGAGUUUUGUAUCAAUAAGUUUUUUAUAUUACCAAACAAUUGUAAAAAAUGUCAAUCUUUGUAUGUAAUUUGGCCUGGGGAAGUAACAUGUAUUCAAAGAUAAUUAACUUGCUAUCCUUAUUAAAUAAAAAAGAUAAUUAACUUGCUAUUUGAGGUCCUUGAAAUAUGAAAAUCAUUAGGGUUAUUCUCUUCUUCACUCAAUGUUAAGUACAUGGGGCCAUUACAUUGUAAAGAAAUUAAAUCCCAACAUUCCUUAUUUUCUAUUCUUCUUUGAAGAAUUGUGAGGUGGAGAGUAGCAUUUUUCUGGCACUUUAUAGUGGGAAUGAAUGCUGACAAUCCCUUUUUCUUUUUUCAAGUUGGUGGGGGCAUGAAAAACAUUGCAUCUUGCUUGUGUACUUCUUGACUUACUAAAAAUGUAAUGCUCCGCCAAGUUGAUAGUUUUAAUCAUCCACACCUAAUUUAAAAUAUCCAUCUUUAAUUUAUCUGGGAGGUACCAAUGCAUUUCUGGUCCAUGUAAAUGGAUAUUCUUUGGAUCCCAAAGAUGCCUUUUUGACCGUUUAUCAGACAAAAAGAGCCAAUUUUACUGGUGACUCUGCUUCUAGUCCCAGUUUACCUGAUUGUUUUUAAAAAGUUAUUUUUUGUAUUCAAGAAUUAAAAUUACGACAAAAUAAAAUUGCUUGAUAUUUUCAAAAGACUACUCCACUUUAUGACAUUAACACCUUAUUCUUUUAUUCUUUUCUCUAGCUGAAUCUUAUUUAACAAGAUGGUCAAAUUCCUUUUUAGGAAGUGAACUGGCCAAAGAGGCUAUAUUGAACUUGGAGGAAGUGACUUUAUUUGACUGGAGAUAUUCCUUCUCUUUAUCCUGUUUGAAUUAUGCAACAUUAGGCUUUGGUUUUGAUGAUGUUUAUAAUUGCCAAUUUACCUUAUUCUCAUGCAGAAAUGAGCCAUUUAUGCAUUAUGAUUUUCUAAGGGUACAUUUUCUAAAUAAGUCAUGCUCUAAUACCUUAUAUAAUGACAUUAACAGAUAUUUGAUAUGCUCAUUCUGCUACCAACCAUUCCUAUGGUAUGGGAACUCUGAUAAAAAGAAAGACUCGUGUGGUCAAUUGGCAAGUGGUCAUUGGAGAUUUAAAAAAAAAAGGGGGNNNNNNNNNNNNNNGGGGGGGGGGCUGAGAAACUUGAAGUUACAUAAUAGAAGCUUGCUCUUUAAAUGGUUUUGGAGAUACAGUAGGGGAAGUGAGGAAAUCUGGCAUAAGAUGAUAGAUGCUUUAUAUGGGGAAAAUAGGUGGAUGGUGGGAUGAAUUUCUCCAGACUAGGCUGGAGUUAGUAAUGGUGCAGAAAUUGAAUUCUGGUUGGAUAGUUGUGAUGGAGAGGAGAGCUUUAGAAGAAGAUUUCCAGACCUAUAUAGUUGUGCUUUCAAUAAAGAGGGCUUUAUUGCAGAUAUCAAUGCAGAUUCAGGCUGGAAUGUCACCUUCGGAAGGAAUUUGAAUGAUUGGGAACUGGAAAGUUUCUGUCACCUACUUCAGCAACCGAACCCAUGCUCAAUAAACCAGAACAAAGCAGACAGACUAGCUUGGUUCAACAGCAAGGAUAACGUGUUUUUAGUCAGAAGUUGUUAAAAGUUGUAAUAAUAUGUUAAUGCAACAGAGUGGUCAAGGAGAUCCUAGUAUGCCUUGGAAAAUGAUACGGAGAAACAAGGCACCUACAAGAGCUGCAUGUUUAAUCCUAAUAUGCCUUGGAAAAUGAUACGGAGAAACAAGGCACCUAGGAAAGCUCCAUGUUUUGGGUGGAUAACAACUAGGAGUGCAUGCUUAACUAUGAGCAAUAUACAAAAGAGUGGUUUUCCCCUAUGUUGUAGAUGCUAUCUCGGCAACAAAGAACAAGAAACAGUUGAGCACUUGUUCUUACAUUGCAGAGUUUAUUGAACCCAUGCUCAAUAAACCAGAACAAAAGCAGACAGACUAGCUUGGUUCAACUUCAACAGCAAGGAUAAUGUAUUUUUAGUCAGAAGUUGUUAAAAGUUGUUAUAAUAUGUUAAUGCAACAGAGUGGUCAAGGAGAUCCUAAUAUGCCUUGGAAAAUGAUACGGAGAAACAAGGCACCUACGAAAGCUGCAUGUUUUGGGUGGAUAACAACUAGGAGUGCAUGCUUAACUCAGAGCAAUUUACAAAAGAGAGGUUUUCCCCUAUGUUGUAGAUGCUAUCUCGGCAACAAAGAACAAGAAACAGUUGAGCACUUGUUCUUACAUUGCAGAGUUUAUUGAACCCAUGCUCAAUAAACCAGAACAAAAGCAGACAGACUAGCUUGGUUCAACUUCAACAGCAAGGAUAAUGUAUUUUUAGUCAGAAGUUGUUAAAAGUUGUUAUAAUAUGUUAAUGCAACAGAGUGGUCAAGGAGAUCCUAAUAUGCCUUGGAAAAUGAUACGGAGAAACAAGGCACCUACGAAAGCUGCAUGUUUUGGGUGGAUAACAACUAGGAGUGCAUGCUUAACUCAGAGCAAUUUACAAAAGAGAGGUUUUCCCCUAUGUUGUAGAUGCUAUCUCGGCAACAAAGAACAAGAAACAGUUGAGCACUUGUUCUUACAUUGCAGAGUUUAUUGAACCCAUGCUCAAUAAACCAGAACAAAAGCAGACAGACUAGCUUGGUUCAACAGCAAGGAUAAUAUAUUUUUAGUCAGAAGUUGUUAAAAGUUGUUAUAAUAUGUUAAUGCAACAGAGUGGUCAAGGAGAUCCUAAUAUGCCUGGAAAAUGGUAUGGAGAAACAAUGCACCUACGAAAGCUGCAUGUUUUGGGUGGAUAACAACUAGGAGUGCAUGCUUAACUCAAAGUAAUUUACAAAAGAGAGGUUUUCCCUAUGUUGUAGAUUCUAUCUCGGCAACAAAGAACAAGAAACAGUUGAGCACUUGUUCUUACAUUGCAGAGUUUCAAGACAUCUUUGGGAGGUUUUCUUUAACAUCAUUGGCAUAUAUUUGGUGAUACCACAGAACAUCAAGAGCCUAUUGGAGAUCUGACAAUCUCAGAGAGUAGCAAGAGCUGUAAAACAAAUCUGGAGGACUAUUCCUAUGUGCAUAAUGUGAACUAUGUGGCAGGAAAGGAACAAAGCGUGUUUUGAGGGGAAGAGGUUGCAGCUAUCUAGAGUCGAGAACAAAUGUAUCAAGAAUUUGUAUUUUGGUGUCAUAGCAGUAGUCAGAUGGAAUGGAUCAGUAUCUGGAUUUUUGUAUUUCGUAGGGGGAAAUAUGUUGCAUGAAUGGUGCAGGAGCUGCAGCUGUGCUUUGUACUUUUUAUGUACCAUCUGGUACCAUUUUAAAGAAAAACCUUUAUUUGUAUAUAUAACAAAAAAAAGGGGCUAGGUGUUAUGUACUAUUGCUUGAUUCCUUGCCUGCCUAAUUGUGAUAUUGUGUGCUAAAAUCACGAUACUCUGUUUGGGUGGAAACUUCAAAGCUCAUAGUUAUACCUAUUGCUUUUAGUAACAUCGUUCUCUUUUUCAUGUUUACCUGAAAGUAUAACCCAUGGAAGCAAUUUUACCCUUCAAAUGGGUAACAUACCUAUGCACAGCUUAGUUGACACAUCUCAUCUUAAGCUGCAGCGUCUGCGAAUUCUCAGAACUAAUUGCUAAUGAUAUUUUCUCUUUUUUAAUUUCAGGGAGCUUUAUAGUAAUAACAUAAGCGGAAGAAUUCCAAAUGAACUGGGAAACUUGACAGAGUUGGUUAGCUUGGAUCUUUACCUGAACAACUUAAAUGGUCCAAUCCCUGACACACUGGGCAAGCUUCAGAAACUACGCUUCCUGUACGAGUUAGACCUUUUUUUUCCUUUCAUGUUCUCUCUCUUUUUUCCUUUUGUUUCUUCUUUUGGUUUGGUUAUUUUGUUUUUAUUUUCUUUUUUUAAUGUCUUUUUCCUUUCACGUUCUCUCUCUCUUUUUUCCUUUUGUUUCUUCUUUUGGUUUGGUUAUUUUGGUUUUAUUUUCUUUUUUUAAUGUUUCAAAUCUUUAUCCUAUUUUUAUGAGUACUAGUUCAAUUAGAAAUGAGUACCUUCUAUGUUAAUGUGUGCAAACGGGUUUGUAGUUUCUAAUUCUCUAUAGCAAAGCUGUAUGAUAAGGUAGAAUUCUGUAACUUUUCCGGUAUUUAUGUUUACAUUGAUGUGUGGAAGCAUUCUGUACAAAAGAAUUUGAUUUAUGGAAGCAAUGAAAAUCGCUACUGCUGUCAGCCAAACAAACCUUUUUAGUUUGAGAGUUCAACGGGUAAUAUAUCUGUAUGAUUCAUUCUGUCUUUGCUCCGUAGUGGAGAGUUGGUUGACACACUUGGCAAACCUUGUUCGUGUUUUCCAAAUAUUUAUCGGUUGCAGAGUGAAGACGAGGUAAUUGGACUGGUCAAUAAAUUUUGGUUAGUUGUAACACCCUAGGCUUUAGACAGAGUCCCACAUUGGCAAAACACAAGAGGGAUGCUGGGUAUAUCAGUUAACAAGCCUUAGACCCUAGUGACACGUUUUAAACCCGUGAGGGCCCAGGCCCAGAACGGACAAUAUUACUAGCGGGCUGGGCUGUUAUCAGAGCCACUCUUGUGUCAGCCUUGCCGAUAGUGGGUUAGAGUUCAACCGAGUUUAAGCAAAUCCCGGUUAGGCGGGGCAAACCUCGGUGCUGAGUCUAGGCAAAUCCCAUGCGGUGGGGCAAACCUCAACGAGGACGCUGAGUCCAUAAGAGGGGGUGUAUGUAACACCCCAGGCUUUAAACAGAGUCCCACAUCGGCAAAACACAAGAGGGAUGAUGGGUAUAUAAGUUAACAAGCCUUAGACCCUAGUGACGCGUUUUAAACCCGUGAGGACCCAGGCCCAGAACGGACAAUAUCACUAGCGGGCUGGGCUGUUACAUUAGUGGUCUAUAUAGACUCAUAGCCGUGCAGCUUAACUGAAAAAGACAAUUCUGAGAUACUUCUCAUCUUAUUAACAAAAAAGCCUUUGGACUUAGAUGAUUGCUAAAUACUGUAUGUAUGACCGUGAUUCUCAACCUGCAAACAAUGUCAGCAAGUUUUUUCUAGCAUACUGGACUUAAUCUUGUAAGAUCAUCUAAUUCUAUAUGUAUUUGUCUUCAUUAGUCAAUGUUUUUACUCUCUACAUGUAGCACAUGUACUGAGUAAUGAGCUUUAUUCGCUUUGACAGCCUUCUUUGCCGAGGGUCUAUCGGAAACAGUCUCUCUAUCUUUAUAAGGUAGGGGUAAGGUCUGCGUACACACUACCCUAGCCAUACCCCAUUUAUGGGAACCAAGUUCGUUGUUGUUGUUGUUUACUUACCCUUGAUCGACCUUUUUUCUUAUCCUUUUUUUUCUUUUCUGAAUUGAAGGAGGCUGAAUAAUAACAGUUUGAUUGGACUUAUUCCCAUGUCUCUAACCACCAUUCUUGCACUUCAAGUACUGUAAGUAUAAAGUUGUUCCCUUAUUUAUCAAGUGUUGUAUGUUGACAACAACCUCUCUGCCCUUUCGGGUAGGGGUAAGGCCUGUCUACAUAUUACCUUCCCCAGACCCCACCUUGUGGGACUAUACUGGGUAGUUGUUGUUGUUGUUUGAUCUUGUCUCCAAUAGUCGCUUGGUCAUACUUCAACUUCAUCUCAAGAAACUGAGGAAACUGAGGAAAUCCAGUUAAUGUUGUUGUUGUUGUUGUCUGUUGUCUUUGUUGGUCUACUUCUUGUGGGUAACUAAUUUUCAUUUCCUUGCAAUGCAGUGAUCUCUCAAGCAAUCAUUUAACAGGACCAGUUCCAGUCAAUGGUUCCUUUUCGCUUUUUACUCCUAUAAGGUGUGUCAGAAGCACAAGUUUGUUGUUACUUUCUGUUCCUGAAGUAACAAAAGUGAUUAUCUAACUAUAGAGUACCUAUAUUUCAGUUUUGCUAAUAAUCAAUUGGAAGUUCCUCCAGCUUCUCCGCCUCCUCCUCUUCCUCCUACACCCUCAUCUUCUUCUUCAGGUUUGUUAAGAUUAUUUGUGUAUAUACUGUUAUGAAACUGUGCUACCUCUCGUUUUUCUUUUUCCAAGUUAGUUUUUGUGAAAAGAACCCUUUAGAUUAUUCACGAGAAGGGGAGCAGGCUAUGGGAAGAAAGGAAAGGCCUGGUUGCCUGGGGAAGAGAACAAACAGGAUUCCCUUAUGAAAGCAGUUACAAAUAAAAGCUAUUAUUAUUUUGGGCACUAAUAAAUAUUGUUAGCUUUUUUAGAUCAGUUGUGCAGGUGUUGGUGUUGGAGUCUUGUUGUAAUCUAGCACACAUGACUUCCAAACUAAACUUUUCAACUCUGCAUCUUUUUUUCUUUUUUCGGAAAUUAGAUUUACUGUAAACUCUGUAGUUGAGUGGUAGUGUGUCAAAAGUACCUUAUAUUAUUUAGAAUUGCUUGUAUAUUUAAAUUCAGGUCAUACAAAUAAAAAGUUAAAUCAGCUUAUGUAUUGGAAACUCGAUCAUCUUUUCAGUGGGCAACAGUGCAACUGGAGCCAUCGCUGGAGGAGUUGCUGCAGGCGCUGCUCUUCUAUUUGCAGCUCCUGCAAUUUUUCUUGUUUGGUGGCGUCGGAGGAAACCACAAGAUCACUUCUUUGAUGUUCCUGGUUCGGACACAAACUGAAAUUUGAGUUAAUUGUACUUUCCACUUGAUGUGUUCUUACUAAGUUAUUAUAAUUGCUUUUUGCAGCUGAGGAAGAUCCAGAAGUUCAUCUAGGACAACUCAAGAGGUUUUCCUUGCGUGAACUACAAGUUGCAUCAGAUAAUUUUAGCAAUAGAAAUAUACUUGGUAGAGGUGGAUUUGGUAAGGUUUAUAAGGGCCGGUUAGCUGAUGGCUCUUUAGUUGCAGUGAAAAGACUGAAAGAGGAACGUACUCAAGGUGGGGAGUUACAGUUUCAGACAGAAGUAGAAAUGAUCAGCAUGGCUGUACACCGAAAUCUACUUCGUUUAAGGGGCUUUUGCAUGACUCCCACUGAGCGCGUGCUUGUUUAUCCAUACAUGGAGAACGGAAGUGUUGCAUCACGUUUAAGAGGUAUCUCUUGUUUUUUUUUAAUUUUCCUGCACUUGCCUCUAGCUUUUGCUCACUUCUAGUCAGGCGAAAUGGAUUAAACACAGAAAAAGCCAAUAGCUACUCAAAAUGAUAAGCCUGUGAUCUUUAAUUUCUCUUUCAUAAAUUUGUAACAGAUUUGAAGAAGUUACUGCAGAAGUGGAAGCCAAUAGCUAUUUGAUAUGUUAGUGGUUGAGUCUUUUAUGACUUCUCAUGAUGGACUGUAUAUUUAACAAGUCGAUGUUGUCUUAUGAUUUUGCUAGUAUUCUAUGAUUCUAUCAACCAAUUUCACAAGUGGUUCUAUCUUUGAUAUCUUACUGAAUAUUAAAGAUUUGAGUUGCUGAUUAAGAUGUGAUUUUAUGAUCACAUUUGUAAGUCAACCAAACAAUUAGAUGUCUUAAAAAAGAGAAUUAAUAUAAUUAUUGUAUGAAGCUGGAGAUAAUGAUGCCUUAUAACUUGGAAUUGGAGCCUUGGAGCAACGGUAAAGUUGUAUCCGUGUGAUCUAUUGGUCACGGGUUUUGAGCGGUGGAAGAAAUCACUAAUGCUCGCAGUAGGGUAGGUUGUCUACAUCACAUCCCUUGGGGUGCGGCCAUUCCCCGGACCUUGCGUGAACGCAAGAUGCCCUGUGCAUUGGGCUACCCUUUUUAAAGUUAUAUUGAACUGAAAAGAUCAGUUUUUCUUCUUAAAACUUAUUCAAACUUAAAAUAGGAACCUUUUUCUAGUUCGCGUAAUAGCUUGAAUUUAUUCUUAUGGAUGAUUUACAUUCUUGUAGAGCGGCCAGAAUCGGAGCCCCCACUUGACUGGCCAAAAAGGAAGCAUAUUGCACUUGGGUCGGCAAGAGGCCUUGCUUACUUGCAUGAUCAUUGUGAUCCUAAGAUUAUUCAUCGUGAUGUCAAAGCCGCAAAUAUCUUAUUGGAUGAGGAUUUUGAAGCAGUUGUUGGGGAUUUUGGGUUAGCUAAACUCAUGGACUACAAGGAUACUCACGUUACCACUGCUGUACGUGGUACAAUUGGGCAUAUUGCCCCUGAAUAUUUAUCCACUGGUAAAUCUUCUGAGAAGACGGAUGUGUUUGGCUAUGGGGUUAUGCUGCUAGAGCUCAUAACUGGCCAAAGGGCUUUUGAUCUUGCUCGACUUGCAAAUGAUGAUGAUGUCAUGUUACUUGAUUGGGUAAGCAUUUAUACUGUCCUAUAUGCUUUUGUUGUUUUGCUUGAUCGACAUUUUGGAUUUUUUCUGAAAAUCUCAAGCCAACUGUCUCUUCUCUUUUUUAAGUAAGUUUGAUAUCGUUUUCUACUGUAGUGUUAGUUGUUCAGCACUGCUGGGCUCCCUGAAGAUAUAGUUAGUUUCAAGAACUACAUCAAUGCUUAUUAAUUGUUGUGGUUUUAUAUUGUGCAAGUAACCGUUGUAUUGCAAUACACUGUAACUUCAUUUUAGUUUUAGAUGUUUCAAAAGAAAACCUGUUAUUGCUAAAAUCGCAGAAGCAUGUAGAUUAUGAUUAGAGCGAAUUACUUUCAUCAUCUCAUACUUGCAGGUGAUUCAACAGUUCAGACUGCCAAAUCAUUCCGUCAUGUUGUCACUCACUAGUGUAGAAAUUUGCACCUCCAUUUGAUUUAUACGUAGCCUAAUUAGUUAGUUUGCACAUCCUAGUAAUAUAAUCAAUUUUUGCCUGUGGGAGCACACUUCUCACUUCUGAGUGCUCUCUGAAGAUUAGAAAAAUGUAACUUUAUUCAUUUUCAUUCAAACAUAGCAAGCUACCUCCGCAACUGCUAAAUUAAUGGCACUUGAAUUAUGUUGUUUUACUUGCUUUUAUAGUCAAAGCUUUCACUCGUGAAGUUACAUGCACGGCCGAAAUUGGCUAUAACAGCAUUCCACUGGAUAUUCAGGUGAAGGGACUCCUGAACGACAAGAAAUAUGAAACAUUAGUUGAUGCCGAUCUCCAAGGUAAUUACAAUGAAGAAGAGGUGGAGCAGCUUAUUCAGGUAGCUCUACUCUGCACGCAGAGUACGCCUACAGAACGUCCAAAGAUGUCAGAAGUUGUUAGAAUGCUUGAAGGCGACGGCCUUGCUGAGAGGUGGGAGGAAUGGCAAAAGGAGGAGAUGUUCAGGCAAGAUUACAACCAUGUCCACCAGCCCCAUACUGAUUGGAUAAUAGCCGACUCCACUUCAAAUAUCCGACCUGAUGAAUUGUCGGGGCCAAGAUGAUUUUUCAGUUAAUACUGCCAUCAGCACAUAUAGGACUGACUCUUUUGAGGGAAAAUCCUCUUUGUAUCUGUAGUUGGUAAUUGUCAUCUUUGUGCAUACCAUUUUCCUUCUUUUCCAAGAUGAAUUGUCGGGGCCAAGAUGAUCUUUCAGUUAUACUGCCAUCAGCACAUAUAGGACUGACUCUUUUGAGGGAAAAUCCUUUUUGUAUCUGUAGUUGGUAAGUGUCAUCUUUGUGCAUACCAUUUUCCUUCUUUUCCGUUUUUUGUUUCUUUCAGUCAGUUAUACUGUAUUCGAUUACGUCAAAAUGUCCAUAGGUGAUUGGGUCAUUACAGGUCUGAAUAUGAAAGUUAGCCGGAAUGGCGUUUGUUAAAAGAAUAAACUUCAAGUUUUCACAAUUUCUUUCGUUUCAUGUUCACCGGCAGUUUGUUGAUUCUUGUUUUGACAAGCUAUGGCUGAUUUUGUAGUAUAAUAUGCCAACGAGCAAUGCUCCUCUGGCAAAGUAUAAGUUAUAGUCAUACAACACCGUGGUCCAUGUCUCAUCAUAAUUCAUACCUCGGUGUUUGUCUCAUCCAAAAUGUUAAAAAGGAGCAUUGUGAUUCUGGACUGUAUGCCUUUCUAAAAAUAAUAGAUGGAAAAUAUAUAUAUUUUUUGUAUAUAUAUACAUUUAAAAAUUAUA
This 48549-nucleotide long non-coding RNA is filed under the name Nicotiana benthamiana. Its description in RNAcentral is "long non-coding RNA (NBEN_LNC007453)". The record is from RNAcentral. Lineage: Eukaryota; Viridiplantae; Streptophyta; Magnoliopsida; Solanales; Solanaceae.